This 75341-nucleotide long non-coding RNA is filed under the name Eutrema salsugineum. Its description in RNAcentral is "long non-coding RNA (ESAL_LNC000110)". The stretch from base 71693 to 71799 matches the Rfam family "Plant small nucleolar RNA R71". Lineage: Eukaryota; Viridiplantae; Streptophyta; Magnoliopsida; Brassicales; Brassicaceae. The record is from RNAcentral.
AAAAAAAAAAAGUUGUUUCCCUUAAGUCAUGAAAAGAAGAAAUAUUGUUUUUGGUUCCGUUUGAUUUAUCAAUCAAUAUGGCCUGAAUCAAUAUGACCACUGAGAUAAUCAUCCAAAUCCAGAGAUAUGCAUGGUCGUCGCCCUCGUAUUAGAGAGGGUUGUGUGCAUGCUCAUAGGCUUACUUACAGUCCAAUUGACCUCACCAAAGUGAUAGAUUCCUUUCCCAAAAUCUUUUUGUGAAUAUGAAUAACAUAUUUCUUGAUGAUUUUUUUAUAGAUGCAACAGUAAAAAAUCUGUCGGAGGAUCUCUCGCCUACAUUUUAGUUUGCAUAAAAAAUGUGAAGUUUGGUUUACAUUUAAUGUAUACGAUUAUGGAUGUGGAUCUAUCGAUCUGUGUAUGUCAUUUUGAUGAUUCUUGGACGAGUGACGGUGCAACUAGUGGUUCUUGAUGGAUUAAUGGCACAUCCAGUUUAUUGGGUGAAAUCUCAACACCUUCAUCUUUAAACUCCAUAAAUGAUUUGGACAAUGAAAUGUCAACAACAUAAUCACGAUUUAUUUAUAUUUUGUGAAGGUUUUUAUAUGAUGACUUCUGCACCAAAGUUACAUGAAUUAGCCAUGAUUAUUAAGUUUUUAUCUAAAAGUUACAUGAAUUAGCCAUGAUUAUUAAGUUUUUAUCUAAAAGUUACAUGAAUUAGCCAUGAUUAUUAAGCUUUUAUCUAAAAGUUACAUGAAUUAGCCAUGAUUAUUAAGCUUUUAUCUAAAAGUUACAUGAAUUAGCCAGGAUUAUAAGUUUUUAUCUAAAAAUGAGUUAAUUCGUCAAUUACAUAUACAAACAACGUUUAGGCAGAUUUCGUUGCUUCAAUAAUUAAAACGUUUAAAUUCUAUUUCGUUGCUUCAAUAAUUUAAAACGUUUAUUCUCUUUAGUAACUUUAGUUGUGAUGCAUCGAACUUUGUUUGUAUAAUAAAGUUGCAUAUGCUUGUUGACACAAUAUUCUCAGUUUUCUAGCAUUGAUAAGCAUUUGUAGACGAUCAAAGAACCAUGUAGGAUACAAAUUAGUUGUCAAUAAUCUAAAAUACAAGUUAUAAUGACUUUGUACCUUACAAUCUUACACCACUUAUACAUUACAAUUCUGUUGGUCCAAACCACCUAAGAAAGAAAAAAAGAAAAGAUGAAGAUCGUUAUACCAAACAAAAAAAAACCCGCCAAUUUUCUAAAUUAACCCUUUUUAUUAGUAAAGUUUUCUAAAAAUCAACUUUUUUUUUGUCAACAACUAAAACCAAUCUUAGUCAAAUUUUUGAGUUAUCCAAAAGAAGUCGACAUUUUCGUUAGUUCCAAAAUAGCUCAAACUUUAGAGUUAUCUAAUUUUUUUGAUGAUACUACGUAACAAGUUUAACAUUCAAAAAUUACUCUAAUCGAAACAAACUUGAAAGAAAAAAACUGCUGUGGAAAUAAAUAAUACGCGUUAUCUUGAAAAAAAUAGGAAAACUAAACGCGCGAUUUGGUCAAUGUGGUCGUGGAUGGGUCACCUAAUCUUUUUAAUUUCCCUCUAAAAAAAGAAGAAAUAAAUUUUCUCCCAAUUUCCUCGAAGAAGAACAUUAGAAAAUAAAAUGUCAGGAACUGAAAAAAACUACGAAACCAAUCAGAUUCGGCCAUUUCUUUCCCUCUUUUCUUUUUUCUCCCAAUCACUCUUCAGAUUCCGAAAAAAAAAGCAAACAAAGAAAGAAAAAAUAGAUUCUUUAUCACCGGAGUUUUCACCGGACUCUUAAAAGAUGAAUACGCCGAACUGGGAACUCCGGAGUUGCUGUAACCGAAACCAGAACACGUUCCUCAUCACCAUCGGAAUCUUCACCGUCGUUAUCCUUGUGGUUAGUUUUUCCCAUCUAAUGUCCUUGAGAGAAAGAGUUUAAAGUUUUGACCUUUACUUGUUUUCUUCGAUUCAAAUUGAAGAUCCGACAAAUUUUUUUGUAAAAGUUAGUUUAAAGGGUAUCUCGAUUGUAGUGUUUUAUGCAACUGUUGACUUAUAAUUUCAUUCAAAGUUUGUGACUUUUGGCAUCAUAAAGUUUCUAUAUUUGUUCUUGUUUCUUAAGAUCUUCACAGAGAUUUCUUGGUUUUGUUUUUAACAGCUAUGGAGGACAUUUCUAUUGACUCCAUUUAAACUAAUCACGGUGUUUUUGCACGAAGCGAGUCAUGCUGUUGCUUGCAAGCUCACAUGUGGAGAUGUAAGGAAGCUCUCUCACUUCAACUACUACUUCAAUGAAACUAAAAAAGGUUACAAAACUGAUUUUAGGUGUAAACCCUUAAUUCAGUUUGUAAACUUGAAUUGUCCUUUUGAUUUGUUAAAUUAUACUGGUUGAUUUGUGAUCCACUUUGCGAGCAUAACAUCUCUUUAGAUAUGCACAUUUACCAGUCGAAAGGUUUGCUUUAGCAUUGAUGUCUCUGCAUUUUCUCUGGACAUGACUGUUUAGCAUAGAGUGGAUUUUAGCAUCUUGAUUCAGUUUGCAAACAUAAACCGUCUGCUUCGAUAUGGAAAAAUACACUUGGAACUCAGACUAAUUUUAGGUUCCUUGAAAGUUUAAAUGCGGUCGGGGUUCGCUUUGAAUAGGCAGAGAAGAUGUUUUUGUUAUCAUCCACUACUCGCAUGGCUUUCUUUAGCAACAAUACCUUGUGUAGAUUGCUUUAGCAAUGUUUGUCUUUGGAUAUGGCUGUUUAGCACGAUCGUAAAGUUGGCAUCUUGAUGUCGAGUUACGAUAUCCUUAUUUAUUGUGCCAUUCGCUAUAUUCCUCAUUUGGUAAACAUUGUUUUAUCCUCACUUGUAUAUGAUUCUCGCUCUAUUGCUAAUAUGUAAACUACUAAUAUACGAAUAUACGUCAUUAGUCUAAGAAGCCAAGACACACAGUUAGCUCAAACCUUAGCUUUAGGUCGACCGUAGCGUAGGACUAAAUGUUAACAGAUUAUAGCUGGCUGCUGGUCUGAGUUUGUGAGAAAGCAGUUAGUGAAAGCGAAAUCUGUAAAGAUGUCUCUGCAGAUUGUUAAGGCUGUAGAAUUUAUAGAAUUUGAUUGGGAUUCCGGAUGAAAGCCUUUUCAUUAAUAAGUUUCUCUAGUUGGUGAGUGUUAUAAGAAUAGCAGUGUACAGCUUAGCUCUUAUCAUAGUUCCAAUAAUGCAGAAAAGAUAGUAGAUAAGUUACACCGCUCAGCCCAAAAAAAAUCUUUGAUUAUGUAUUGAUUGCACAUUAUUUUCAUCAAAUGCGUGCAACAUUCUCUAUGUUAAUCUGCAACUUCAUUUUUUCAGUUUGCACUUUGCACAGUCGCAUAUAAUAUGGAUAUUGUGUGCCUAAAAACAAAUGUGGCUAAUUUUUGUUUGAACUUAAUCUUCUUCGUAUUGAAUCAAAAAGGUGGAGGGGAUGGAGGUGAAUGCAAAUGAAGGAGGUUCCACAACAACACGUGGCGGCAUCUAUUGGCUGAUCUUACCUGCUGGCUGUAAUAUACAAUCUGUCUAUCUCCCUUAAACAAAUCAACCAUUUUCAAAUUUGGACCUUCCAUUGUUGAUGGCUAAAAGUGUUACAUAUAUAUUUGUUGUAAUGGUUAUAGAUCUUGGCUCAUCAUUUUGGGGAAUGGCUUUGAUUCUUGCAUCUACUAAUCUGCUUACAGCAAGAAUAGCUGCUGCUGGUCUCGGUCUUGCUUUAUUCAUCGUCCUCUUCAUUGCCAAAAACGUAAGUAGAAUUCAUUUUUAUCUCAUUGAGGCAUUGACAUCAAACCAAUGACAUCCAAAUUUUCAACCUUGACAGUGGACGCUUCGAGGUCUUUGUAUAGGUGUGCUAUCUCACGGUUCUUCUUGUUAAAUUUUUCAUUUUUUAGUUCUCAAAAUGAUAGUUGACAAAAAGAUUCUAACAAUCAGUGAAAAAGUCUCUCAGGUUUCAUAGUUUUCCUCGCUAUCAUAUGGGUUCUACAAGAGUUAACUACAGUAAAAAUUCUCCGUUAUGUCAUUCUGUUCAUCGGUAAAUGAACCUCAUUUUGUUCAGUCUUGUUAACAUGUUUGAGUUUCAUCUUCUCCGUAUGAAAGCCAGAUUCUUGAUAUUGCAGGUGUGAUGAAUAGCUUAUUCUCAGUUUACGGUAUGUGUUUCCUUUUCUCUCCCAAUAACUUCACUUAAAGUUAUGAACUUAUGAACAAGAAAGAAGCCUCAUUUGGUUUUGUUCUGCAAUGGCUAUUAGAUAUCUACGAUGAUCUGAUAUCGCGAAGAGUCCAUUCAAGUGAUGCUGAGAAGUUUGCAGAGAUCUGUCCUUGCUGUACUGGUUGUGGCUGGGGUGUCAUAUGGUGAGACUUUAAUCCAAUUUUACACACAAAAAACAACAAAUCUUUGUUUUUUCUUUGUUUCUGACCAAAAAUGGUUUUGAUUUUUCAGGGGAAUGAUAUCUUUUGCGUUUCUUUGCGCAUCAUUGUAUCUUGGGCUAGUGAUCCUAUCAUAAAAAGGUGUUCUUUUGGUUUUGGCUUUCUUGUUUUUUGUUAAGCACAUUUUUGCUUUUGAAUUUUGAUUAAGCGUUUUCAUGAUUUUUGUGAAUUUUUGGUGUCUCUCAGGUUUCAAAUUCUUUCCAGUGAACUGCGGAGUCUCCUUUCUUUCAUCUAUGCGCAGUUUUUUAACAGAAAACAUUUUUUUGAUUAAAAAGCUUGAUUCUUUAGAUCCCUUUGAUGUAUUUACAUUUGAUUGAAAGUUUAGGGUUUAUCAUUUUUUUUUUAUUCAUUUUGGAGUUUGUGUUGAAUAGAAUUCAUUGAUUGUUCUGUUUUAAUGCAUUGUAAGUCCGUUGAUCUUGUCAUCAAAACAAAACUCCGUCGACUUAUUCCUGUAAAUGGUCAUAGUAUCCUCGAUUAGACUUCGUCCUUUCUUCCAAAUUGAUACUUAAACACCAAAAUCUAUUAUAUAAAGACUCAGCUGAGUCUCACAAACUUGACACAUCAGCUUUCGAAAAAAAUAAUUUUCUCAAUUCCAAAAAAAUCUAAUUUAUCAGCCAUGACACAAGUACAAAUCUAGUUUCUAUCUAGAAAAGUCAUUCUCUUACAAUAAAAAGGAAAUGCAUUGAAUUUAUAGUGUUAUUACUUUGUAAACGACACCCGAGAAAAUUGAACGAGGCUAAAAUAAAUUCAUUUUUAUAAAAUGGAGCGGCAUUCCACCUAUUUUUCAUUUUUCUCUUACGCGCUUAAAAAGCUCCAGAAAUCAGGUAUAGCGCAACUGCAGUCACGUUCAUAACCAACAUUAGAAAAGAAUUAAGGUCUUGAAAUAACAUAUCCAAAAUGCAUAUUUCUUGUGUUAAUUUUGUUUUAGUGAUUGUGGUUUUUAGUGUUUCAGAUCAGAAAGGCGAUCAAAUACAUGGAUAUAAUCACUCUACUCUACGUGUCUACGAGGAGGAAAUGAUAACCAAUCCUUCUCUCAUAGAAAGAGAGCUAGGAUCAAGCUGUAUGUAGUGUAAUUACACACUAUAUAUAUAUAUAUAUAUAUUCAUUCCUAUUUUAUGUAUAUAUAUAAGAAAAACUUUAUGUGCCAUUAAAAAAAUUAUUUCUUGUUUCCAUAUUAAUUUAGAGUUUUAUAUGAUGUUUUUUGUUGUUCGCAAAACAUUGAAAAAACCAUAAAUAGUUUGUUUAUUGCAUGCAUGAAAAAUUAUGAUAUCUUUGUAUGCGUAAUGCUCUGGUGCCUAACAAUAUUAUUAGGUUUAGAGCAGAUGAUAUAACAAACGAAGUUGAAGUUUUAGAGGCAUUUUGUCUUCUGUUCAAUUUCUGUUUAUAGUUUUCGUACAUCUUAUAUAUAUACAUAAAACUGACAUAUAGUGAAUGCUUAACUCAAUCUAAAAUCAGUUAUAAAAUUUUCUUACGUAGCGCCUUAUUUCUCUGUCACAUAGACAAAAUUCUUUGUGUAUCAGGAGAAUGUAAUGCCCAAAUUUUAUCAUAUUUACUUUAUUGACGUCCGAACUUUAUAUUUUUAUAACAAAAAAUGAAUAUUUAGAAAGAAAUUAUUGUUUUUAAUAUUUAUUACCCUAAGCAGAACUCAAAGGAUUUGAGAUGAGAUUUAAAGCUAAGCUGAAACAAACAAACGCAAUAUUUUGUAUUUUAUUGUGUGUCUUUGAGUGUACGUAUUUUGUUAAUUUUAUUUCAUUAGUAAAAAAAACAGAAAAUAUAUAAUAAACAGACAGAUAUAUGUCUUAUUUUAAAGAGAUAACAAUAGAAAGUGAUUUGCGAUUACGUAAUUCUAUCAUGAUCUAGAAAAUUUAAAUUCGCACAUAUAUAUGUAUAUAUAUUAUUGAUCAACUUAACUAUUAUAUAUAUAUAAAUUACCGCGUGUACACGCGAAGUUUUAUCUAGUUAUUGUAAUAGUUGUGUACAAAAUAUCAUGGUGUAGAAAAUAAUUGUUGUAGUUAAAAAUUCAAUAAAAAAAAUAAUCAAAUUCUAUUAUAUGGAGGAAAAAUUUCAUAUUUUGUACUCUUAUUAAAUUUCAUAAUAUUUAAAAGUAAAUUUCCAUUUUUCUUCAAAAUUACAGCGAAUAAAUCCUAACUUUUUUUGUUUGAUAGAUAAGCAAUCUUUUUUGUCUGAUGGUAUAAAGAGGUAUAUCGUUUGGAAUCUUCCGAGGUUCAUCUUGCAUUAUCUUGGUUCAUCUUCCAAUAUAUCUAUUGGUUUGUAGAUUAGGUUGAAGAAAAUGAGAAAAAUUUGUAGUAAAACCUUUCUUUGAAUAUUUCUGUUAUAACGAAUGCGAAAAAAUGAAGUUAUAAACAUAAGGAACACAACACAGAUUUAACGUGGUUUACCAACGAUGUGUUGGUUACUUCCACGAACAAAAAAACCUAUUUAUUAAGGGAGGCAAAAGGUUCAGAAAACUCUGAUGAAGGUUCUGAAUCAUAAUCGGAAUACAUCAGAAUCGGAAUACAUCAGAAUUAGGUAUCACAUAGGUAUUAUAACUACCUAGUUAACCCUAAUCAUUUUUGGACCUGUCGUUCACGCCUAUGUAACGUCCUUAAGCUGAUAGCUUCGACCCAUUACUCAAACCGACAAUCUGCAGUAAGCUUCGUAGCUUACACCUCAUCUGAAAACAACUCCGCAGCUUACACAAUCUGUAACCAACAUCUUCUACAGUUUGCUAUGUAGCUUGCACCUUCCAGAGGUCACACUUUCCGCAAGUCGCACCUUAUGGAAGUCGCACCUUACGCAAGUCGCACCUUACGCAAGUCGCACCUUACGCAAGUCGUACCUUCUGCAGGUACCUUCUGCAAGUUGCACAAUCUACAUUAUGCUCUGUAGGUCCGCACCUUCUGCAACUUGCACCUCUCACAGUCUCAGAUUUAAGGCACAUUAACAAAUCUCCACCUUGUCUUGAAUCGUCCAAACAGAUGUACCAGAUGCACUUUUACAGUGCCAGAUGUACCGAAUUUUUCAUUUGCCUCACACGUUUGAUAACACCUAAUUUUGACAUAUUUUCACCAUUGAUUUCAAAUGCUUUUUCAAAGGUUUUAAUCAGUUUUAGGAAUUUUUAUUAUGAUUUCCAUGUAUUUAUAGUUUCAAGACUUUUUUCAGGAAACUUAGGGAAAAUGAUGGCAAAAUGGAAGAAAUCCACUUUUUAAAGCUCAGAGUCAGACCGUCAGAAGUUCAGCCUCAAAUGAAGACUUUUUCAACGUCUGAUCUAGUUCAAAUUUGGAGACAAUCAAGAGGAGACAACCAGAUUUCCAUAGCACUUUACAUCACAAAGAUUCAAUUGUGCAAUCAAAAGAUACAUGGAGAACAAGCUGACCCAGUUUACCAGUCCUGGAAGACUCUCACCCGCGGCAAAAUCAUGUUUUACCUGCCCUGGAAGACUCUCACCCCCGGUGUACCUUAGGACGAGCCACAAGGCCCAACAUCAAAGCCCACUUCGCCAUUCCUCUUUAGAGAAGCCCUAAAUGAGACCUGGAAAAACUUAGGACCUAUAAAUACAUUGUUUAGCGGCUCCAAACAGGUGUGUGCUCCUGUAAUGAGAUUUUGAGCCACCAAAAUCUGUUUCUCUAGGGUUAGGCGAUGGAGAUGGGGAUUCUUCCCCAGAUCCAUUGUUCUUUCUCCUUUCAAUUCUACUAACUUUUCUGUUUCACUCUUUUGCAUUUUUCUAUGUCUUUUAUUAUUCCUUGCAUCAUGUAGAUCUGUCCCAGAGAGUCAAGUUGUUUUAAGAGUCAUCGAUGAUCAUAUAUAUCGAUUAGGAUUUCUAUAGUUCUAAACCAUAUUCUGGAUCUCAUCUCUUCUAAGUUGUUCAUAUUGCAUGAGAGUAGAUUCAUGACCUAUUUUCUGAGCCUAGGAUCGAUCAGAGCCAUGAGAGUGUUGUAUCAGAUCAUCCAUACCUAGCUUCAGAAGAACAUAGUCGCUAUAGGAGUCGAAAGCUACCCAUAGAGAAGAUGUGAGCAGACGAAUUCAAUGUCUAAUGCAUGAUCUUAUUUCUGUCAUGAGAGCGAGAGUUAAUUGUCAUAUCUAAGUGAUUAGUUGAUUAAGAUGACGAGAAUUAGUUAAUCAUACAUAUGUCUAUUGUAGUUCCAUGCAGAUUCCUAGAAACAGAUGAAGAUAAAUCGCCCGGAAGCUAAUUGUAAAUGCCACCAUACAUCGAUUAUAGUAAAUCGGAGAAGUCUAAAUUGCACCCUAUGAGUUUAAGAGUAUUUAGUUUGAGUCGAUAUGCUUGAGAUAUGCUUGAGAUAUUCUUUUAACAAUUCAUCAUGCAUUGCAUUUUAUCUCUUGUGAAUAUUAGAUUAGGUUUAGUUUAGGACUUUUAACUAAAAACCCCAAAACGUUUAUUGGUUUAUGAUUUUGCUUACUUCCCAGUUUGUUGUUUCUUGCAGAUUAGACAUUCUCCCUAUGGAUCGACACCCUAAGUUCUACAAUCUGUGCACUUUCAGAUUUUAGGGUUUUAUAAAUUUAAAACUUUCUUUAUGGACCAAUGAGCUUGUAUGAAAAACAACCCUAGGCCCGUAGCUCAUCAAAGUUUUUGGCGGCGUUGCCAGGGAGGUUCUUAGUCGCUGGAGGUCUAAACCUAGGAGGUUGAAGCCACAAAAGACAAUAUAUAUGUCGAGUUUCUGCCAAAAAAUCAUAGGAAGUAAACCAAACUCAUAAACACCCUAACUUUUUUUUUUUCUGCUUAUUCUCUCUUCUGUUUGCCCUAGUUUCAGAAAUCUUUGAAGCAUGGAUCAUCCAAGAAGAAAUCCUAACCCUGAUCGAAGGUUUUGCAACUUGUGUGAAGCUCCCUACGCAUGUGAAUCACCUUCCAGGCGUGAUUCCAAUCAUCCAGUUCGGCCAGAUCAUCCGAACCACCACCAUGGAAACUCGCGACCUCUACACCAUCGAGAUGAGCCCUUCACCUGGUGAAUCGUCGACCAUCUCAUCCUCUUUCUCAUCAGAUUAUGCACCAGAACUAUGAGGAUAAUCUGUUUAAAAUCCUGCUAAAUCGAUUGGAAGCCAAGCUGAAUCAGUUCCUUGCCUCCCAAGCCAUCAUCGAUGCUGCCCUGCGAACAAGGAUAGAUGACAUGACCGUCGACCUUAACAAAAGGUUUGAUGACCUCUCUGAGCAUGUGAAGAUACUGGAGAUCAGAUAAUCAAAGAUAAUGACGUGUCGAACCAGAGAAUGGAGUCUGUCGAAGAAGAGCAGGACAAAAACAAGUUCAACAUUCGACAAAAUGAAAGGGAGCUGCAAACCCUAACUUUCAAGAUCGAUGACUUGGAUAAGGAACUGAAUGAGAGCAAAAACCAGACCUACGACUACACAUUGGAGCUGUGGCAGGGCGUAGCUAAGGUUGAAAACAAGACAGAAGAGCUUGAUGCUACUCUAGACAAAGUUGUCUAUGCUGUAGAUGAAGUAGAAGAGAAAGUUGAAAAACUUUCUAAAGAUCAUAAGGAGUAUGAUCUGAACUCUAGAAUCAAUGAUUUGGAUACCCAAGACGUGCCUAACAACCACUGGAAGCAAGAGAACAAUAAUGGAGAAGAAGAGAUUUAAGAAGAAAGCAUAGAGAGCCGGAGGAAGCUGACCGCGGCUGCGAGUACUUCACCCGCGGCCAGAGCCACUUCCACCGCGACUCCAAGCUCCUCACCCGCGGUAGAGCAUGAUUUCUCAGAUUAGGAGAACUUCCAACCUCUUUCUGAAACCUGUUCAACUGCAGACCAACCCCUUGUGACCAGAUCUAGGUUGUUUGAUCAAGUUGUCUUCUCAAUCACUGCACAAGCAUCAAAAGAAAAGGAAGAAUCCAACACUUAUGAAUCUUGCAACAUAGUUUACACUUGUGACAAUGAGCUUCAAGAGCAAUUCUCAGAAGAUGAAGAGUAUGGUUUGUUUGUUGAAGAUCCAAACUAUGGGGACAAUUCAUCUAAUGACAACUCAGAACCAAUUACCAAGAGCAUAUCCAGAGAGAGACUGAUUGAAUUCAACAAUUUUGUGAAGUCCAUUCCUCUCUACCAUGGUUUCGACGACAUCUGGAAGCAAGGCUGCCUUCAAGUUUUUUUUUCAGAUAUAGCAAGAAGACUAAGGAGAACGUCUACACUUAUUUCAGAAGAGCCAGGUAUCUAUCUUUUCCUAGAUCAUCACCUGAUGCAGCUGUUUACAUGAUCCAUCUCAAAGAUCCCCACGAAGCCAUUGACUACACAAACAAGAUCAACAAAGAAGCACUUGAAGAGUCAAUCAAGUAGUUCAAAGCCUCCUAGAAGGAAUUUCAUUUGCCAAAGCAUGUAGAGACUACAUGAUCGGCCACUUCUUCUAUGACAGCAAAGAUUCUAUUCAAGAGAUGAAAGACUUGUUCACACACGCCCAAGAAGGUAGACCAUUUCGAAAUCUGCACAAAGUUCAAGACAAAGGUCAAUUUCUUAUAUCUUGUGAUAUUAGAGGUGAAAGAUUUCUCAAUAUUCUUUGUGAUUCUGGAGCUUGCAUUAACAUGAUGUCCAAAGCAACUGCUUUGAGACUUGGCAUUAAGCACAUUUCAAAUACCAUGACAAAGAUUAGCUUAGCAGAUGGUUCAAGUGCAACACCAAGAGGGAUAUCCCGAGAUAUUCCUCUAAGGAUUGGAGAUUGCAUUGCACCUGUCGAUCUAUACAUAGUGAAGACCAAAGAUGACUCUUAUCCACUUAUCCUUGGAUGGUCUUUCUUAGCAACUGCUGGAGCCAUCAUGGAUUGGCCCAACAGGAGAUUUUAUUUUGCAAAUAUCGACAAGGAUAUCUUCUAUCAAGCUACACCACUUAAGAGCAAAGGAGAAAAGCAGAAAGCCUAGGCCUUUGAACCAGAAGAAAUCUGGAGUGAUGAAGAACCUGCAAGACAGAAGAGAAGGAUUUCGAAAAGGACUUGUCUUAGGACAAGAUCCUAUUUGAGCUAAGUCUUUUUCUUUUGCAAGUGUAGCUAAGGACUAUAAACCAAAGCGCUUGAUGGGAGGCAACCCAUUUAGCUACUUAUUUGCUUCUGUUUAUCUUUCUUUUUCUAUUAAAGUUUUGGUUUUUUUAUUUUAGACAGGCCUUAGUAUGCCACAAAAAAAGGAAGAAAAAGAAGAAAGAGAGCUGACCGCAGCCAAAGGAGGUUCAACCGCAGCCAGCAAGCAUUUUGCCGUGGCCACGAAGCUUUGAACCGCGGCCAGCACCACUCGGCCACCCUUGGCCAUUUCCACCUCUACCUUGAUUCAAAUCCAUCCAAGUUGGAUCAAGCACCACUUCACAUCAUCCACCAUCCACCAUUCAAUAUCCUACCACCUCCACAACCACCUCAUAAUCCAUCACCACACCAGGUAAGUUUUCUUUUCCUUAAUCUUUUUAAAUUUUUUCACAUACUCUAUUUCUCAUCCUUGCCUGAUUUAUUUCAUACUGGGGACAGUGUGAUUUAAGUAUGGGGGAGGAUUUCAUCCCUUUCUAACCACUUUUUCUUGCAUGAGCCUUUGCAUUCUGCAUUUUUCUUUAAAAUUUUUCAAUUUUUUUUUCGAUUUUUCACAAAACUUUUCAAAAUUCUUUUGAGUUUCAAAAAGUGUUUUCAAAGGUCAAAUACAUUUUAAGGGAAUAAUGACAAAAUCGAUGAUGAUAACCAACCUGUUUGCUUCUACACCAAUGAUUCAUAAAAAGCUCUUUCAAGGUUUAGUAUUAGACUUGGCGGUAGCUGGAGUACUUACACUACGAAAUCCUACCAGAAGACUUCUAUUCAUGAAGAUAUUUUCUAACAGGAUAUUCUAGCUCAUCUUACUUGGACUUAAUCUUGACAUCUAAUUUUCUCAUCAAUGGUUUUAAGAAGGCAUCAUGAUAUACAUCUAGGACAUCUUUAUCUUAUUGUUACCACUCUUUGUUGUCCUAGAUGGCCAGUUCAUCUUUAGCUGGUACCUCACCUUUAACCCAAACCUUUAUGUUCUAACCUCAUGCAUUCUCUCUUAAGUAUAUAUUGACAGAUAUGUGCAAAAACGCCGUAGAGGGAGGAACAACAUAGUUUUCAGUCAUUCAUGAGAAAAACUGAAAAAGACCAGAAGGGAGUGUGCCAGAAAUCUUAUGAUUCCUCAGAAAAGCUCAUUCUUAUAAGUAAAUUUCAUGCUUUUUAAGAUUAAGUCAAAAGGCAGUUUCCCCUUUCCCAAAAAAAAAACAAAAAAAAAAAGAAGGAAAGGAAAGAAAACCAAAAGCCUAAAGAGUCUUAGAAGCCGAAAUCAUUUGAGCCAAGGCAAUAGGUAUCCACCUAAGGAGUUAUGGAUUCACAACCUAGACAAAAAAUCCAAGUCUGGGGGAACUAUAAGGAGAACCUGAAGAAAGGAGAUCAGAAAUCUUAAAGCAAAGAGAAUGUGACUGAAACAGUGGGGGCAUUUACAGUUCCAUCCUCUCUUGCUGUUUUGCAUAAUGUCUUGUCUCUCCAGAAAAAGGUAACCCUAAACACAUCAAACCUUACCAUUAAAAAGCCUUUUUGAUACCUAACCUUGAAUGCCUUGUUUGAUAUCCUUUUGAUGAGAAUCACUGAAACCUUUAAUAAAUGUUAAGAGCUAGGUGACUGGAAGUUAGUUCUAAGUGUGUGGAUUUUUGCAUGACGGAUUAACAGACUAGUUAUGUUUGUAUUUUGGUGAGAAUUUUCUAGACUUGAUCUGAUUGACGCAUUGUCCAUAAUUAAGGUCUAGAAGUAUGGUUGCUGAUAUUUUUGAGUUCCCUCUCACUUUUGUUGAAUGAUAUUUUUCCAGAUUUGAUCUUGUUUUGUUUGAGGACAAACAAAGUCUUAAGUCAAGGGGGGGGGGGGUUGAUACCACACCUGAUUUUGACCCAUUUUCACCAUUGAUUUCAAUGCUUUUUCAAAGAUUUUAAUCAUUUUUAGUAAUUUUUAUUAUGAUUUCCAUGUAUCUGUAGUUUAAAGGUUCUUUUCAGGAAACUUACGGAAAAUGAUGGAAAAAUGGAAGAAAUCUACUUUUUUAAGCUCAGAGUCAGACCGUCAGAAGUUCAGCCUCAAAUGAAGACUUUUUCAACGUCUGAUCUAGUUCAAAUUUGGAGACAAUCAAGAGGAGACAACCAGAUUUCCAUAGCACUUUACAUCACAAAGAUUCAAUUGUGCAAUCAAAAGAUACAUGGAGAACAAGCUGACCCAGUUUACCGGUCCUGGAAGACUCUCACCCGCGGCAAAAUCAUGUUUUACCUGCCCUGGAAGACUCUCACCCCCGGUGUACCUUAGGACGAGCCACAAGGCCCAACAUCAAAGCCCACUUCGCCAUUCCUCUUCAGAGAAGCCCUAAAUGAGAUCUGGAAGACCUUAGGACCUAUAAAUACAUUGUUUAGCAGCCCCAAACAAGUGUGUGCUCCUGUAAUGAGAUUUUGAGCCACCAAGCUAUGUGUUAGGCGAUGGAGAUGGGGAUUCUUCCCCAGAUCCAUUGUUCUUUCUCCUUUCUAUUCUACUAACUUUUCUGUUUCAUUCUUUUGCUUUUUUCUAUGUCUUUUAUUAUUCCUUGCAUCAUGUAGAUCUGUCCCAGAUAGUCAAGUUGUUUUAAGAGUCAUCGAUGAGCAUAUAUAUCGAUUAGGAUUUCUAUAGUUCUAAACCAUAUUCUGUAUCUCAUCUCUUCUAAGUUGUUCAUAUUUCAUGAGAGUAGAUUCAUGACCUAUUUUCUGAGCUUAGGAUCGAUCAGAGCCACGAGAGUGUUGUAUCAGAUCAUCCAUACCUAGCUUCAGAAGAACAUAGUCGCUAUAGGAGUCGAAAGCUACCUAUAUAGAAGAUGAGAGCAGACGAAUUCAAUGUCUAAUGCAUGAUCUUAUUUCUGUCAUGAGAGCGAGAGUUAAUUGUCAGAUCUAAGUGAUUAGUUGAUUAAGAUGGCGAGAAUUGGUUAAUCAUACAUAUGUCUAUUCUAGUUUCAUGCAGAUUCCCAGAAAAAGAUGAAGAUAAAUCGCCCGGAAGCUAAUUGGAAAUGCCACCAUACAUCGAUUAGAGUAAACCGGAGAAGUCUAAAUCGCACCCUAUGAGUUUAAGAGUCUUUAGUUUGAGUCGAUAUGCUUGAGAUAUUCUUUUAACAAUUCAUCCUGCAUUGCAUUUUAUCUCUUGUGAAUAUUAAAUUAGGUUUAGUUUAGGACUUUUAACCAAAAACCCCAACACGUUUAUUGGUUUAUGACUUUGCUUACGUUCCAGUUUGUUGUUUCUUGCAGAUUAGACAUCCUCUCUGUGGAUCGACACCCUAAGUUCUACAAUGUACAUCUGUGCACUUUCAGAUUUUAGGGUUUUAUACAUUUAAAUCUUCCUUUAUGGACCAAUGGGCUUGGAUGAAAAACAACCCUAGGCCUGUAGCUCAUCAACGUUCCAAAAUGCACUUUACCGUGCCGGAUGUACCAGACGUCCCUUGUAUCAGAUGUACCUGAUGCACGCUUGCCAGAUGUACCAGAAUUCCCUUCUAUCAGAUGUACUAAACGCACCAAUAUUAUGCCAGAUGUACCAGAUGCACUCUUACUGUGCUAGAUCUACUUGGUGUUAAGUAGAACAGGUGUCUCUACAGACCAGACGUCCCUUUGGACCAGAUGUUCCGUCGGACCAGACUCCACUGCGGACUAGAUGUUAUUUCAGACCAUACGCCUCUUCGGAUCGGACAUUGUUUCGGAAUAGACGUCCUUUCAGACCAGACGCCUUUUACCAGGCUCAUAUACUCCUCCAGAGCCAGAUGCCUUUCACUGGGCUCAGAUGCUCCUUCGAGCCAAACAACCCUCACCGGGUUCAGACGUUCCUUCAAGCCAAACGUCCCUUCGGACCUGUAGUGUAUGAUCCACCAUAUCUUCGAAGCCAUAUAUCUCUGUGGAUCCAACCUCAUUCCUUGUAAGCUGAUCAUGACAUGUACUACGGUGAAUAUUCUCAGAUGGUGUCAGUUCUGACAGAUCAAUUUCUGUCUGUAGCUCUUGAAUCUCUUCGUGUAGCUCAGAAUCAGUCUCGUCACGAUAUAUAUACAAAUCCACCUGCAUCUGUAACUCCACCUGCUUGUCAAAGCUACUGUUCUCUGUAGCAGCUGUGGUUAAAGGUUCAUCUUGGAACCUUCUUUCUGAAUCAACAUUAGAGAACAUGCACUUCGUUCUCCGCAGCAGCAUCUGAUUCAUCUGCUCAGAUACACCAUUCGGUUGUGAUGUAUCCGUAACUGCAUGAUGUUGGACAACUCCUUCAUCCUUGCAUAGCUGAUUGAGCUCUAAUGAACAGAAUUUCUCACCUUCCUCUGACAGAAUUUGCACCUUCUUUUCACCUAUACGACCAAAGCUCUUAUGCCACAGCUUUGUUAUAUCUUUGUGGUGAAUUUCUGAAGAUGCAACAUUCACAGAACCUGUAGCUGUGGAACCUCCACCCAUACCCUUGUGCCCUCCUCUGCUGCAGGUGAAAUCACCUUCAUCAUCCUCAUUUUCAUUCAAUGGAGCCGCAAAUCUCUAUGACAGAUAACAUCUUCAACUUUCUUUUUCAAUUUUAUCGAAAAAUGUGAGAUUAGACGCAUAUAGAAUGGGAACCAUCUCUAUAAAAACAAUAGAUUUUUUUUAUGAAGAGAUAUCUGAUGUCCAAUAUAAUUUGUUGUUAUAAUUUGUAUCUAGUUUUUUUGUUAUCAAAAUGAAUGUUCAGAUGAGAAUAUUGUAAAUUAAUUCUUAUCAUGAUAUUUUGAAUAGCAUAUGAUUUUGAUUAAUAUUAAUUAAAAUCAUUAAAUUGAAACUAUAUAAUAUUGAUAAGAACUUUAAAAUUAAUUAUCUAAUGAUACAUAAUUUUAGUUAAAUUUUAAAAUCACUUAAAAUGCAUAAACUAACAGUACCCAACUCAAUAUAUCUUGGUGAAAAGGUUCUUAUGUAAAAGUCUAAUUAUAUAAAAAUUAUAGUAAGGAAAAAGAAUGUGCGUUCUUUCAAAAAAAAAAAAAAAAAAAAAAAAGAAGAAUGUGCAGUGAGCAAUCAUAUAUUCCCUUUAAAUAGUCUCAGUACUGUCAUUUUGAGUUUACCCUCUGUCUCCCCUAUUUUUUAUAUUUACAGUUUUUUAAUAUUAGGUUUUUACUAAAAUAAAAAUUUCACAUCGUGAUUUAUCAGAUGGAUCCUAUCCAUUUCUCAAUUUAAUAAAUAAUAUUUCUUAAAACUUUUCUUGUCUUACUAUAUUCUCAGCAUUUUGUAACACUAAAUAUUUAAAAUGCAAUAUUUAUAUCUUUUUGGACUUUACAUUGAUAUAUAUAAACUUUCGAAUAUUAUUAUGUUAGAUACACAAUUUCUAACCAGAGAGGAAUUUACAUAGUAAAUAAAAUGAUAUUUAUCAUAUUUUUGUAAUUCUAUUAGAAUUAUCUACAUUUUUAUAUGUGUAAAGCUCAUAUAAUUGGUUUUGCAUUCUUAAUGAAAGUUUGUUAAUAGAACUAAUAUAAUUAUAUCAUGGAAGAAAAACUAAUAGAAUUUAUUUUUAAAAAAUGAUAUCAAUCUAUCAAUUUUAUUGGGCACUAAAACAUUUAGGGUCCUGCCAUUGACCAAUACUGUCUACCUCCCAUAUAUCUACCAUUAAGCCAAUACAAUUAUUUAAACACUUUUGUAGAGAAUUUUUUUCUACAUUUGAUAUUUAUAGAAAGACCUAAAAAGAAAUAAAAUCUAUACUUUAUCAAUAAUAUAAUUCUGAAAGGUCGUUUUGAGAUAUAUGUGAUAUAAUAUUAUAAUAUUUAAUUUAUAUAUGAUAUCUAAACUUUACCAAAUACUAAAGUUUUAUAUUUUGAUUAGUCUACAUUGAGAUUACAUAUUGUUUCAUUAAAAUAUUUUAUUUUUAUUUUAUGCUAAAUUUAUAAUCAAUAUUAGAGCAUUUAUUACUUGGUCAUAGGUUUUACUAGAGUUGAAUUUCAUAAAAUAUUAAAUUUGGUCAAAUUAAAAACAUUUGACUCAUUUAGAAUAUGUAAAGAGUAGCGAGCCAAAAGAAGUUGAACUUCUCAAAUAUAAAUUAAAUUUUCAAGCGCAAAGCUCAUGGUACAAUCAAGAAUCUGAAUAACUUUUGAAUGGCCACAUUAUUGUAUAUGAAUUACAUACAUGUAUAUGUAUGAUAGAAUAUAUAUAUAUAUAUAUGUUUUCUUGGUAGUGAAUGAGAGGAGGAAAAAAAAUAAGAGGAGAAACAAUGAGAAAAAGAAAAGUUCAUAAAAACAAAAAUCACAAAAUCAUAAAGUUUUUUCAUUCUUAUUGUUCUGCUCUUAUAUUUUUUUCCUGUCUCUCAUUCACCACCAAAAAAACACAUAUAUAUAUAUAUAUAUUUAUGUAUUUUUGUGUAGCAUUUGACCAUGCCAAUCCGAAAUGCUAAACAAAAAUAUAAUUUAUUUUUCCAGAUUACAGGCCAAGAGAUAGUAUGGAGAUAUAUAGAAGGCGAUGGUAUGAGGGUUACAAAAAUAUUCAGACUAUUAACUCAGAUUAAAAAUUCUGUGAGAAGAAAAUUCAGAUAUGAUUCCAGAAUUAUUUGUUGAGAAUCAAUCCAAAGUUCCACAUCGGAAGUUUAGACUAAUAUGGUCUAAUAUAUAAGUAAUGUCCAACUCUAAUUAGUAUGAGGUCUUUUGGGAAGGAGCCCAAAAUCAAAUCCGUGUGGGCUUUGUCAGUUGGGCCCAAAGCAAACAAUAUCAUACUAAUUGAAAAAGUUGGACAUGCGUUUUUCAAGCCCAAUAUUAUUCAGGUGAAAAUUUUCAUCACUAUUUUCAGAAUGAUAGGCUAAAGUGUAAGAGACAUUUUAUUAUUAUUGUAUCUCAAAAAACGUGGAAAUGUUACAUAAGCCUUUAACAGUCUUUUUAAAAAAAAAGCUAUAUUCAAGAUAUUUAGUUUUUUUUUUAAAUAAUAUAUAUAUAUAUAUAUAUAUAUAUACACAUAUAUAUGAUAUUUAAACUCUAUAAAUAAGAGUUUGAUAUUUCUAGUCCAGAUAAAGUAACGUUAUAAUGCUGCCCAAAAAAUAAUACUACAAAUAAUUAUUUUCUAUUAAAUUUACAUUAUAGCAUUUUUUUUUAUAACAUCUAUUUUAUUAGAUAGUAAAAAAGUAAUACAUCAUGUUUACAAGCCAUUUUGGCAAAGAUUGAAAAACAUAAUACAUAGCAUGAAAACAACAAUACAUAAAAUUAAAAACACAAAGCACUAAAUCAAAGAAGAUGAGUUUAAACGAUUUUUUUCUUCGAAUUUUUCUCGCUGAAAAAGUGUCCACACCUUCUUUCCUCGUAAUCGCAUUUGAUCUAAAGCGAUUUUUUUUUUUGCUAUGAUCCAUCUUUUCUCCUGUUGUAUGUUAUUGACACAUUUCCAAGUAAGAACUAAAAAUAUUCUAUGAAUAAGAAUCCAAUCUUUUGAUUCUUUCCAUAGAAAAAAUACUUGAAAUUGCCAAUUUUCUACGACUGUACGUAUGUCGCCAUACCACAAGGAGUUUUCAUCUUCCGCUCCAAACCCUUGUCCCCUCCAUGGUGGUUUCCAUGUUUGUUGUUCCCAUAGUAAUGCCAUAUCCGGCUGAAUAGAAUCAUCGAAGAAGAUCAAACAUAAAACCCAAAUUCGCCAAUCAUCGUUUCCAUGACUCCUAACUUCUCCUAUUCCCGGAUCAAAAACCCAAAUUACAUCUCCAAACCAUACAGUGGAGGAUAAUAAAAACUGCUGUGAGUGUUGAUUUAAUCUUGGAUCAAUUUGAGUAAAUUGGUUCAAGAAAGAAUUAAAAUCCCAACCAAAGACUUGACGAAUUAUAGCAUUUAUUAUUUGGUCAUAGGUGUUACUAUAGAUGAAUUUAAUGGAAAUGUUAUUUUUGGUCAAAUCAAAAUUAUUUAAUAUUUAUAAUAUGUAAAAAUUUGAUCCAAAAGAAGUUAAAACAUAAAUAGAAUCUCAAACCACAUGAUACAAACAAGAAUCUGAAAAAAAGUUUGGAAUCUCCAAUAUGAUAUACAUUUGCAUUAUUAAAAAAAAAUGGCACUCAUUGUUCUUCUCUCAAUGCUUUUUUUUGUUUCCUUCUCUCAUUCACCACCACGAAAACACACACACAUAUAUAUAUAUAUAUAUAUAUAAAUAUAUAUAUAUGUCAUGCAUUAUCAUUUAUCAUCUCAUCGAUCUAACUCAUGCACUCAGGAUCAUCAUCAAAAUGAUCUUCUCCCUCCAUAGCCUCUCUUGGAUUUCCGGCUUCCAUAUUCUGUUUUCCGCAGGGCUCCAUCACAUUAUGUUUCUGACUUGUCGACACUAGAUUCAUAGAAAGUGAUUGAUCAUGGUUGGUGUCAGGGGUUGAGUCCAUCAGGGUAUUAAAGGCAGAGUCAUGUCCAAUACACCUCGUCGAAAAAAGAAUAUCUUCCUUAGAAGAGCCAAAAUUUCGAACCAACAGUCAAUAUCCAUCUCAUUGACGUCAAUGUCAAAAUAAAUCAGCUCUUCGAUCGGAACAUCAUUAUCUUCCACAUAAGGAACCAAAGCCAUAUCUUCCAUAUUAGUUUCAAGGGAUUGGGUUUUAUUGGUUUCAAAAGAAGCAUGUCUUCAAGAAGAAGAAAACUUUCUUCAGAAAACAACCAAUCUAUCUGGUCUGUAUUGGUUUCGAAAAUGGUGGUCGUAUUGGUUUGAGAAGAGGUUUCAUAACUUGUUUGACCAGAAGCAAAACCGACAUGGGAAAUGACAUUUUGAGAAAGAACAUGAUUUUCUCCAGAAGAAACCAUACCCAUCUGGUUACUGAUUUCAGAGGGAAUCAUAUUUUCAGAAGCAACAUAGCCUUCUACUGAAGAAAUAUUGGUUUCAGGAACAUUUAUGUUCAUAUCAGUUUGAGGAAGAACAUAAUUUUCUAGGGUAGGAAUCCAAUCCAUCUGGUUCAUAUUGGUUUCAGAUGACUAAUGUUUUCUGUUGAUGGAACACAACCUAUUUGGUUUAUAUUGGUUUCAUGAUCGCGAAUAUUAUCGGUUGAUGGACUCCAACUUAUCUGGUCCAUAUUGGUUUCUAAAGUGUUCAUGGUAAAGUCUAGAUCUGGAAGAAAAUAACUUUCUCCCAUAAUGCACAGAUCAGCUUGAGGAACAUAAGGCUCUGGUAUAUAAAUAAAGUCUAGAUCUAGUUGGUUCCAAUCGAUUUCAAGAACAGAUGAGCUAGGUUGAAAUGGGUUAGGUUCAGACUGAGGAAUACAAAUCCCGGAAGACUCCAUCUGGAAUGCAUCUGUGUUAGAUGCACCAACACUUGAUGACAAACCAUAAAGAACAGGAGGGUUAUCACUACUUAAGCCACUAUGGUUAGAUGCACCAACACUUGAUGACAAACCAGAAAGGACAGGAGGAUUAUCACUUAAGCCACUAUGGUUAGAUUCUCCAACACUUGAUAGCAAACCAGAAAGGACAGGAGGAUUAUCACUACUUAAGAUAAUAUGGUUAACAUCAUGGAUAGAAAAAAUAUGGGAAGGUGGGUUGUUACUUGUGGCUGAAGGAGCGUAAUUGACUUCCAUAGGUGACUUGUUUAAUAGGUUACCAAAAAGUGAGUGUUUACUCAGAUCCAAUUUUCCACCUAGAUGAAACUUGGGCACCAUCUUCGCUUUGCCCUUUUCAGCAGAUUUUUUGAAUGAAUCUGCAUACAAGAAAAACAAAAAACAUUAUUGACACAAAGAUGUUGAAUUGUGAAAAGUAUAUAUAUAGUAAAAGAACAUGACUUGCAUUGGUCGAUGGAUCAGGAGGAUGCUUCCUUCUUUUUCAGAGAAUACCACUUUGUGUUACUUUCAACGAUAUUCUUUGCUAAGUUGGAUGCAUUGAAAGGAUAUUCAUAGUCUGAAGGGUAGUUGAAUGUCUUAUCUGUUGACCUCCAUUCAUUCCUCGACAACGAAUGGUUCAUUAGCUUAACUUGUGCUUUGUAUUUCUGAAACAAUUAAUUAUAGAAUAAAACAGGUUAUCAUAAGGCUAGUAAAAUUAUAUAUUGAAAAAGAGUGUAUAUAAAUGUAUAUAUGAACCUGAAGGUGGCUACCGACUUGGCAAAGAUUCAAGUCUGAGUCAUUCAUAAUGCUCAAUAUGGAUUUAGGACAAGAAUCUGUAGGAUAAAGAACUGUAAUCAAUUGGUAGAAAGAAGAAUUGGUCAAAACAAAAAAAAUCUUACCUUUUGCACCCAAUAUGGAUAUAGCUGUUAAAAAUAUCAUUUGGCGCUCCUGGAGUCAAUACAUUGCAUCGUCUUCCAAUAUUACUCUCCAUAUUUAUUCCUUCCUCUCUCUUGUUCUCAGCCUCAGUGGGAUAAACCGGUUUAGUUUUUCCUUCAUCAAUUGCUUUGCCUUUUCUCUUUUGGUAUGUUUCAGGGGUUGUAAAUGUUUUGACGAAGGGUCGUCUUCCUAACAAAGAUGACUGACUUGUUCUCUGCCUCUUUAUGGUUUCUCUAAGAGAUUCAAUCUGAUUUAGUAUAUUUUUCUCCACAACUUUCUCUUGUUGUUCAGCGAUGUUGAUUUUCUUUAACUCUUGGCUCUUCUUAGGUACCACAUGCUGCCAUAGGUUUUCGAUGUCGUUUUCAGAAAUCGGCUUCGUUAGACAAAAACGUGCACUUUUUGUCAAAAGAUCUGAUGUUUCCUUGGUAUUUAUUUCUGGACUUAUCACUUUAACAUCAAAAAAAUAGAUAAAUUAAUCUGUGGAAGAAAGUAACAAACAGUGUAAAGAGUAAGCGCAAGAAGAAUGUGUAAAUGUUUGCUUACGUAUAAGAGGAAUUUUUUUGUGAAGCAAAGCAGUGAGAAAGGAAUGUGAAUCUAUAUGAGGCAUUUCAAUGUUGGCUAUCACAAGUCCAGUAUCCUUUUGCUUUUCGAUCAUCGAUAAAGCCUCACUUGCCUUGUUCAAGCUCAUCACUAGUACAUCAAUUUAUAUAUUAAAUAUUUACAAAAUCCAAAAAAAAACAUUGUUCAAAACAAUAAUCAAGUUUCUUCCAUUUUAGUUUUAGUUAUAUAAAAAAGUUGAAAAAACAAUAGAUUAACACGCACAUUUUCGAUUAUAUAUGAUGAUUAGCUAACCUAAUACAUAAUAUAUUAUUUAUAUACAUAUUAAUAUUUGAAAGAAAUUUUUUGGGCUAGAACCAGACAUCUAACAAUCUGAUUAUCCGAUUAAAAUAUAGAAUAUAUGUAUUAAAACUCAACAAUUAUACAUCUAGGGUAUUCAAUAAAAAAUUAAUAAAAAAUUAGAGUUCAAAUAUUUUAUUAAAUUCUUUCUUAUCGAUUUUUAUUUAUUUACAAAAAAAUAUUUUAAAAGAGAAAUUUAUAUGCGUAUUAUCAAUUAUAUUUGAUGAUCGACUAAUCUAAUACAUAAUACAUUAUAUAUAUAUAUAUAAAUAUUUGAAAACUUUUUCCAGCUAAUACCAAACAUUCGAAAUCAUGUUAAGAAAUCAUUUCUAAAUAACAUCAGUUAUCAAAAUCUCAUAUAUAUUCCACAAAAUAUAGAUUAUACUAAAAUUUAAUGGUUUUUACAAAAUAGUAUCCAAUAUCUAUGACAUAUUAUUAUCCAAACUAAUAAUCGUAGGUGAUUAGGAUUUUCAACAAAAGGGUUGUAAGAAAAUCAUCUUCAAAACUGAGAUCCAAGACCAAUCAGUAGCCUAUAGCUUUAAUAUUCUGUAAAUUAAAUUAUAAAUUAUAAUUUUCUAUGCGAAUUCACAUUUCUUCAAAUUUGUUCAGAGAUCCUGAUUUAUACAAUGUAGAAAUCUCAAGAUCUAGAGACGUUGAAUUAUAAUCAUCAGGAAAAUAUUCAGCAAAUGCUAAAAUUUACCAUACCAAAUGUAACAAAUUAGAAUAAUACCGUUGAUAUGUAAAUGGAAAAAUGAUCAACAUCAAUAUAAAUGGUAAACAAUUUUUUUUUACCUUUAUACGAAAAUUGCUUAAGCAUUGAAGUGAGAAAUUCAAUUGAUGUAGUGUCAUUAUCGAUUAGCAGAACUGAAAUAUCACCAAUGCGUUCAGGAACUAUGUUUCCAGCCAAAUUUACGGUCAACUUUUCAGUCAUAUUUUCAAAAAUAUAUGAUAUGAAGGUUUGAAAUAAUAACCGAGUUAAGGGGAAAUAAGCUAUUGCAUGGACGUAUAUAAAAGAAAGAAUAGAAAUUGUAGACCCAACAAGGUCAUAAAUUGCAAACAACACCAGAUGAAGAAAACUAUUUUAAUUUCUAUCAAAUAUAUUUCAUUUCAUCAUUGACCCUACCUAUAAUAUAUUUUUUUAACUCUAAAAAUAUACCCAGUCUAAAGUAUAAUCUAUUAGUUUAUAUAAUUCAAAAUCUUAUCAAACACAUGGUAAAUGAUAUUAUAGCAUUGGUAGUGAUAAAUAUAAUUAUUUUGGGAAUAUUAUAGUGUUUCUUGACCGAUAUAAUUUGAGAAUUUACACGAUAGUCAUCGACUUAAAAAUCCAUAUAUAGUUAGUUGUUAUUUCAUUUAUAAAUUUUGACUAGAAAUAUACAAUUAGUUCAUUUUUUAUACAAUGUUUUAGAAAAUGAUUAAUUAAUUAACAAAAAGUAAACAUAGAAAAUUUUUGUAUAUGCAUAAAAGAUUUUUCAUAGAAAAAUUUGGUGGAAUUAUGUUUUCUCUUUUUUCUUAUAAUUAGAUAAUAUUUUUAUUUCAGUCAGGAAAAAAUGUAGCUACAGAUGUGUUUUAGAUUUAUGGAAGCGUAAAAUAUUCUUAAUAUGUAAAGUAAUAUAAGUUCUCUAUAUAUUACACAAAAUAUAAUUCAAAUUUUGUUAAUAGUUUUGAUAUCAAAAGUUAUUCAUGCAUGCGUUUUACAAUUCGAUCCUUACCUUAUUUCGAGUACAAUAGGCAUGUGACUGGUCAAGUUUUUAAACUCUUAAGUAACUUCCAUAAUUACGUAGAAACUCAAAAAAAUUCAAGAAUAGAAUAAGGUUCAUCUUUUUAUAAAUGUUUAAUUUGAAACGUAUGCUAACACUUUAAAAUAAAGUAUUGAUAAUUAUAUGUUGUGAUGUUGUGUAAUGUAUAACUAAUGCUCGUUUAGUAGUGAACUCGUGAUCAAUGAUGGACUCCAGCUACAAGUUUGUUUUCCUUCCGAUCUGUUCACUACACUACAAGAAAGAAGACCUUUUAUAUUGGAAGAUAUCGACGUAAAAUCGACGUAAUGGGCCAUUUACGUCAAAUUAGUGACGAAUGAAAAAUUAUCGUAAAACAAUCAUCGUAAAAGAGAAAUCGUCGUAAAAUCUUCGUAAAUUACCAACACAAUAAAAUCGUCAGAAACAAUUCGUCGCAAAAACGACGUAAACGUUCCAACGAAAGUACGACGAAUUAAUUUUAACACAACAACGACGUAAAAUCGAUGUAAAAUUACAUCGGAUUUACAACAAUUUCGAGACGAUCUAUUUCGCAAAAGUCAAAUAAAUUUAUUAUAGAUCGACGUAAAAUCGUCGUAAUAUAUCGACGUAAAGUCGACAAAAAGUAUAUGGACGUUUUAAAAUAUUUGCCUUUAAUUAGACGUAAAUUUACGACGAGUUUACGUCGAAUUAGAAAAAUAAUUAUUAAAAUUGGAUUUUAAUUUAAUUAUUGAAUUUUUAAAAUAAUCAAAUAAAGGAAAAUUUAAAUUUAAAUUCGAAAAUAAUUCAUAAAUUAAAAUACAAAAUUAAAUACAAUUUAAAAAAAAUAAAAACUAAUCUACACAGUAAAUUCAUAAUCGUCGAGGUUGAGAUCGACGUCUCGAGGAGGCUCUCCGUCAUGUCCGUCCGUCGCUGUUGUACCAUCGUUUCCCGUCUGCACUACGGGAUCCGAAGUCUGACCCUGCGUCUGCUGGUCAGAAGGUCCACCCGCAAUAAUCCUGUGUGCUCGCCGUUGCCUCUCUCGAAAGUGGAUCGUGAAUAUUUCUAAUCCGUUUUUGAAGUCUUCAGUCAAUGACCCAUCAACAUUUUUGGGCGUAUACAUCCACUUUCGUAGAUCGUAUAUAGACAUUUAAAAACAAAUAAAUGACUUUUUGUUUUUGAAUUUUGAUAUAAAUUUCAACUACUAAAAAUUUUACUCAAACAUUCAAAGACUCAAAAAAUUGUGUCUUUAUAUGUUUUUUUGGUUGAUGGAAUAAUGAGAGAAGAAAUGGUAUAUAUAGAUUUUUUGUUUGGUUACCAACAUAUUGCCAUUGAAUAUUAACAUCAAAUUUACGUCGAAAUAAAAUUUACAUUAUAUUUACAUCGAUAUUACGUCAACUACAAGAUGGAGGCCAAUUCAUCGUAUUAUCGAUGUAAAAUUUACGACAAUGUUACGACGAAAUGUAAUUCGUUCUUUAUUCGUCAUAAUGUUGUCGUAAGUUUAUGACGAUUUUACGAGAAUACUAUUUUAUAUCGAAACGACGAAAUAUUUUGACGUCGUACGUAAUUUCGUCGUAAAUUUACUACGACCAUAAAUCGACGUAAAAAAUUCGUUGGAAAUGUCCCUCUUUCUUGUACUAUACAAGGAUUCAUAAAUAAUGAAGCUGUUUUGUUCGGUGAGUGCAUUAAUGUGAGUUAUACAAAAUUUACAUUGGUUACAAAAUUAGGAGACCAUCUCCAUCGGUUUGUUAGGUAAUUUAGAUAAUAAUAAAAAUUAAGAAAUGAUUAAAAAGUUAACAAUUCGGGUUGUUAGGUUGUUGUGGAAGAACCCAGGAAUAUAUAAAAACGUGGCACCAUGUCAUUGGUGGAAGAUUUUUUAUGUGUGUGGGCUAAAAAUCAGGAAUAAGCCCACAUAAAAAUUCUUAAUUUUUUUAAUUAAAAAUUCAUAAUUAAAAAAAUUUUAAGAAACCCAAUCCCAGGUUUAGGGAUGGAGAUGUUUUGCGUGAGUACAUUUUCUCUUUCUUAUAUAAAGUGGAUCCACCAUAACUCCUAAACUAAAUGAGACACACGAUGAGGCCGCAUACAGUGUGGAGAAGGUACACAAAUUCCGCAUUAUCGUUAUAAAAGCUAUGCGAAGUCUUUAAAAAUUAUCUACCGUUCUAAUAACUAACUAAAGUAAUCACGAGAAAUAGUAGUUGGAUAACAAGAUUUUUUUUGUCUUUCUGCUAAGGGCGAAAAAAGUAAUGUAACCUGAGCUCUUUUGCAUCUCUUCUCCGGCGAUGCCGACAGCGUCGGUCUCAUCCUCUUCUCCUCAUGGGGUAGAAAAAACAACCCAAAAAAUCUCCACCAUCCAAACCCUUGUGCCCUCCUCUGCCGCAGGUGAAAUAACCUUCACCAUCUUUGUUUUCACUCAAUGAAGCCGCAAAUCCCUUUGCUCACUCAGUGGCGGGGGAUCCUUCGUCUCUAGCACAGCAAAUCCUUACUGAUUCUGAUUCUCUAGCCUCGACUGACAGCAACUCUCGCUCAGAUCCAAUUGUGAUAGUUCCUGCAACAGUCCAAGCCCCCAAAUAUCAUUUAUGUAAAAGUUGUUGAGACAACAGAUCCAGAACUGAAGAACUCAUCAGUAGAGGCACCAAUUGUCCCGACAAUCCCUGCCUCUGAAUCUGUUUCCGUGAAAUAGUCUUUGGCUGCAGUUCCGGAAAUCCUAAAAAGUUCAAAACCCACUGUGAGUGAUUUGUGGUCAGGAUUAUUCAAAGGUGCUACGAAGCAACUGCAGAAGAAAGGCACAACUUUUACCUUCCCAUCCGAUGAAGCUUAUGUGAAGAUUCUCAAAUAUGUAAUCGAAAAGAACAAAAAAUCCUGGGAAAGUUUCAUCUGUGGGCAAUUAUACACAGAUACGCCCUCCCAGAAAACUGUUCAUAACAUCGUGAAUGGAAUUUGGAGUAAGCAUUUCUGUGAUAUUACAGUAUCAAAGAUAGAGGGCAAUACCUACCUUUUUCAGGAUACCAAAUCCUUCCACUCGACAAUGGGUUUUAACUCAGAGAUUAUGGCAGAUAGAAGGUAAAACGAUGUUUGUCACGAAUUAGGAGUCUGGCUUUGUUCCAUUGAAGCCCGAGCUCUCGUUGUCCCCUAUUUUGCUGAACUAAGAAAUGUUCCUCUACAGUUCUUCAAUGAAGACGGCUUUGAACACAUUGCGGGAUUUGUUGGAGAGCCAAAAUGUCUCCAGCCUAUAACUGCAAACAAGACAAAUCUGUAAGUAACGAAGGUAUUCACGAUAACUGAUCCUCGUAAACCUCUUUCAGAAGUUGUCAAUAUCCAAUUUGAUUCUGGAGAGAUCAAUAGAGUUUUAGUGUCCAGUCUGUGGAUGCCACCACUGUUUUAGUUCUGUAAGAGGUGAAUCAUCAUCUGAGGCAGUGCAAUGAAGCUCCAAUCUUUUGCAAGAAGUGCAACUCAAAAAUUCACGUGGAAGAGAAUUAUGCAAGAACCGUCCUACCUGAACAAAAUAAUCCAAACUCCCAUAGAAACAGAGCCAAGGGAUUAGCUGGAAAUACUUAGAAGUGGGUUAAAGUUGCUGAGAAAUCAUCUGCCAAAUCUGUCAAGUUUACUGAGUCUUCACUGGGGAAAGAAAACAAAUCUUCAAAGGGAGAGUUCAGUGGCGCUGUGGUCUGGUACAUCUUCAAGGGAAGAUCGACGAAAAUGUUAAAGGUCCUCCUAUCCCUGACACAAAAAAAUCAUCAGGAGUGGAAUCAGAUUCUUCGGACGUUGCUUUUGUGGACUUCAGCAAUGUUGUAAACCUGCAGGGUGAGCAGAGUGAGUUCGCAGAGGUAGUUUCAAAAAAGAAGAAGAAGGAUAAGAGGGACAAGAGCCCCAACAAAAGCAGCUUAAUAAAUGGUUGAAGAAAAACAAACCGUUUUAUGAGAGUAUUAUAGAAACCCAUGUGAAACAGCCUAAAUGUAGGAAUUUCAUUAAUAGAUCGCUUCCCGGCUGGUCUUUUGAACAGAAUUAUGAUUUCUCCAUUUAACAAGUGUAAAGGCUGUUGUGGUGGCUAAGUCUUUGCAGAUGAUCACCUACAAAGUUAUGUUUCCUGAUGUGCAGCAGUGGGUUAUUUUGUCAGUGAUGUAUGUUUCUACAGUUGAGACUCUGAAAAAGGAUCUUUGGGCAGAGCUGAUUGUUUUGUCUUCAAGCCAGACUGUUGAAGAAAAAGAAUGGAUGGUCAUUGAGGAAUUUAAUCAAGUUCUCCAUCUACAUGAGCAUUCAAGAGCUAUUACUCUUAAUGUGGAUAGGAGGACAAGAGAAUUCAGGCAGUGUUUGUUGUCGGCUGAGGUGUCAGAUUUGAACUACUGAGGAAACACAUUUACUUGGUGGAAUAAAUGUAGUGCCAGGCCAACUGUGAAGAAGUUGGACCACAUUCUUGUAAAUGAGGUUUGAUCUACUUUUUUCCCCUCUUCAUAUGCAAUAUGUGGAGAGCAUGGUUUUUCAGACUAUGCUUCUUGUGUUGUCGUCUUGGAGUUGGGUUCUCAAAGGCAGAGGAGACCUUUUAAAUUCUACAAAUUUUGCCUCCAGAACCAAGACUUUUACCCUCUGGUUUGUGAACAUUGGUUCUCAUGUAACAUGGUGGAAUCAGCAAUGUUAUGUCUCUCAAGGAAGCUUAAGCUUCUGAAAAAUGUCAUAUGUAGAUUCAGUAGAGAUAAUUUCUAGGAUUCAGAGAAAAGAGUUAUUGAAGCUCAUGAGAAGCUUUUGCUUUGCCAGUCUUAGACUCUAACUGAUCUGUCUCGAACAAAUGCAAAACUGGCGUUUGAAGCACAAAGAAAGUGGCAGAUCCUGGCAAGUGCUGAAGAGUCCCUUUUCUGCCAGAGAUCAAGUGUAACCUGACUUAAAGAAGGUGAUUGUAACACUUCUUAUUAUCACAGAAUGACUGCAUCUAGGAAAGCCAUAAAUCACAUUCACUUCCUUAUUGCACCAGAUGGAGAACAUUUUGAAUAUCAAACAGGAGUUUAAGAGCAUUGUGUUGAUUAUUUCUCACACUUUAUGGGUUGUGAGGUUGGUCCCCAGAUGCUGAUCUAGUCGGAUAUGGAGCUCCUCCUUCCAUUUUGAUGCUCUCAGGCCCAAAAAGAGAGUAUGAUAAAGAGCUUCUCGAAGGAGGAAAUCAAACACCUGCUUUUCUCAUUGCCAAAAAACAAAACCAGUGGACCUAAUGGGUAUUCCGCUGAGUUUUUCACCUGUUACUGGAGUAUUGUAGGGCUGAGGUAUGUGAGGCAGUUGAAGAAUUCUUCCGAUUUGGAAAGCUGCUUCAGCAAUGGAACACUACAACUUUGAUCCUCAUUCUCAAUAUCACAAACGCCUCUUCAACAUCUGAUUUCAGGCCAAUAUCCUGUCUCAACACUAUUUACAAAGUCAUAUUCAAGUUAUUGGCAACCAGAUUUCAGAAGAUCCUGUCUCAGGUAAUAUAUCCCUCUUAAUAGGUUUUCAUGCCAGGUAGGCUGCUUGCAGAAAACGUUCUACUGGCUACGAAAAUUAUGCAUGGCUAUAACUGGAGGAACAUCGAUUCCAGAGCAAUGCUUAAGGUGGAUCUUAGAAAGGCAUUUGAUUCAGUAAGAUGGGACUUUGUCCUCUUGACCUUAAAAGCGUUGGAGUUAUCAGAAAUAUUUGUUAAAUGUAUCAGUCAGUGCAUCACAACUCCCUCGUUUACAAUUUCAGUUAAUGAUAUCACCAGAUGCUACUUCAAAAGCGCAAAAGGAUUAAGGCAAAAAGACCCUCUCUCUCCUUACCAUUUUUCCUUGCAACGGAGGCCUUCUCAGGAUUUUCCACUCUAGAUUUGAGGCUGGGUAUAUCCAUUACCAUCCCAAGACGGCAGAACGGAACAUAUCUCACCUGAUAUUUGCAGAGGACGUGAUGAUUUUUUUUAUGGUGGGAGUUCAUCGUUACACAGCAUAACUGAAGGAUUAGAAAACUUUGCGUCUUGGUCAGGAUUGCACAUGAACAGAGACAAGACUCAACUAUUUCAGGCAUGAGUAAACCACAUUGAAUCCACUGCAAUGGCAAGCUAUGAAUUCACUGUAGGUUCACUAUCAAUCCAAUACUUGGGUCUUCCCCUUAUGCAUCGUAAACUGAGACUCUCUAAGUAUGACCUCCUUUUGGAGAAGCUUGCUAAUAUAUUCAGAUCUUGGGCUGUUACAACCCUCUCAUUCCCAGGGAGAGCUCAGCUGAUUGCUUCAGUGAUAUUAGGAACCGUCAACUUCUAGAUUUCCACGUUUAUGCUCCCCAAAGGUUGUAUUAAAAAUUGAAUCUCUGUGUGCUAGGUUAUUGUGGUCUGGUAGUAUUGUGACAAGAUGAGGAGUAAAAGUAGCAUGGUUUACUGUGUGUUUGCCUAACUCUGAAGGAGGUCUGGGCCUGAGAAAAUUUUCUGUGUGGAACAAGACGCUAUGUCUGCGGUUCAUUUGGUUACUAUGCUCUGAAAGUGGAUAUCUCUAGGCUGAAUGGCAUAUCAGAGCUUCUGGUUGGUGGAGGCAUAUUCAGCUGAUUCAUGGACGUGGAAAUCUCUAUUGGAUCUUAGACCAUUGGCUGAAAUGCUCUUAGGAAAUCUGUUGGAAAUGGACGAAAAACAAAUUUUUGGUUGGAUUUUUGGACACCUCUUGGUCCACUAAUUAAACUUCUGGGUAAUGAUGGCCCGAGAAAUAUCAGGCUCCGUCUUUCUGCUAUAGUCGCAGAUACAUGCACAAUGGAGACUUGGAGAAUCCCAUCGCCAAGAUCUGUAGCACAGCUGAGUCUCCAUAUGCACCUAACGACUAUCAACUUACCUUCUUCCUCUCAGAUCGAAGAUGACUGUUUUUGGUUGGAAAAUGGUGUUAAGUGCAGCCAGUAUUCCUCCUCUAAGACUUAGGAUGAUCUAAGGCCACAACAAGGUGAAACAGUGGUCUAAGCUUGUAUGCUUUAAAGAUUGUGUUUCGAGGCAGGCUUUCAAUAUAUGGAUUGCACACUUGAAUAGGCUCCCCACUAGAGCCAGAAUAGCUUUUAGAGGAACAAAUAUAUUCACAGAUUGUUGUCUUUGUUCCAGAGACGAGGAAACGAGAGAUCAUUUGUUGUUCAGUUGUGCUUAUAGCUCGGAAAUCGGAAAUCUGGAGGCUGAUACUUACAAGGUUAGACCAUACCCAGAGUCUGUUCAUCUUGUGGUCGGAGUUGUUAUCAUGGAUAAGUAUGCGUUCUGAUGCUGCCCCUUAUACCUGAAAGGUGGUGGCUCAGGCUAUGGUUUACCACAUUUGGAUGUCAAAGAAACAAUUUGCUGCACAACUAAUAAAGGAUUCCUGCAUCCAGCAUUUUCAAGUCCAUUGAUCGUGUGACUCGAAACACCAUUACUACGAGAAGACAAAGACGUUGCUUUAGCAACUUUAAUGUCUCUUUGGCUUCAAUGAAACAAUAUAAAAUCUAAUUUACUGUGUAUUGUUCUCCUUGUUUUUUAUUUCUUUUUUGCCAAGGAAGUUUUGUAACAGGUUAGCAUCUUUUAUAACCUUCUUUUCAUUUUAAUGAUAUUAACAUUCAUAGCAAAAAAAAAAAAAAAAGAAAUGGUACUUGCAAUGUUUUACACCAUGUUUGUGUUUUAAAAAUAUUUCACACUACAUAUUCAAAGUUAUAAUGCAGGAUACAAUUUGUUUCUAGUCGAAAAGGUCAAAAAUAUCCAAAUUUUUUAUGUGGUGUUUUCAAGAAUUAUGCUUUUAAGAGAAUUUAAGAAAAUCGGACUAUUCUAUCGAGAUACUAUAACUUAUUCAACAGAAUAUCUAAAGCAUUUGUUCUGAAAGCAAGAAUUCUAGAUGCUCUUCUCCCCAUUUGUUUUUGGUCGAAUGCCACAAAAGAUGUUGAGAAUUAGGCACAAGAACCGGGUUCAAUAAGUUGACAAAUACCAAACCGAGGACCGACGUGGAAUCGUGGAGAAAAAGUUACAUUACAAUAAAGAUAAAUAAAGAAAAGGGAAGAUGACGUAAAGCUCAGAUUUGGAGCCUAACGAACUCCACGUCACCGCCUAAGUUCAUCCAUUGAAAUUUGACGGCGUCUUCUACUCUUCUAUCAUAACCCUUCGUUCUUUCAUGUGAACCACGUCACCGCCAUUCUCUUUUUUUUUUCUUUCUUAAUACAUUUCUCAAUAUGCGUCCAAUAUCAUAAAUAUAAUAUAUAUAUAUAUAUACAAUUUAACCUAUUAAGGCAUUGCAACUUGUAGUGAACUUUCAAAGGAACUUGCAUCCACAAAUUUAAACAUUUUUGCAUGUUGUAGAAUUGAACACGAAUAAUAAAGUGUGUAUUGAUGAUACACUUGUGUUACUUAUUUGACAAUUUAUUUGGUUUUCUUAGAAAAACUGAAACUGGCUUAUACAGUAUGUUUGUACACAUUUUUUGUAUUCGAAGAAAUUGGGGCAUCAUACAGUGACAUUGCUAUUAAUGUUUCUUCUAUAUCAAACCAAGUGAUAACAAAAUAUAAAAAGUAAUAAUGUUGACUUGUAAAUAAAGUAAGAAAAUUAAAUUCUGUCAUUUCAGAAGAGGAAGUAUGUCACAUGUAUAAUAGAUCAUCGAUACUUUUCAUGAGAACUUCCACAAGAAAGCCAUUGACUUCUUAUACCUUUCUCAAUUUUCCAGCUUGACCCAUUUUUUUCUUUUGAAGUUAUGAGAACUUUAUGUAUAAAAACAUUUUAGACUAGACCUCAAGAAAAUUCAGAUAUUUUUAUAAUUUGUGAAAAAAAUGUUGAAAUAAAUUGAUUGGAUUAUUUCUAUUACUAACGUUAAUCCAGUAUUAUGGUGGUCUAUAUUAUUAUUAUAGCCACCUAUACGGAAUGUUGAUGUGCCAAACAAUGGAGACACACAUUGUGUACUUGGAUUAAUGAAUAAAAUGACAUGUAUCAGUCUAUGGGACACAUAGUAAACUAGAUUAUUUCAUACCUAAAAUGCUAUAAUAUUUGAUUGAUAAAUGAUAAGAACAAAGAAAAGUUCUUGCAAGUUUGAAAAAAAAAAAGAGAAUAUCUUGACUCGUGCGGAUCUCAAACUUUUCUUUUCUAUCCUCUUCUCAAAUUAUAUUCCAAGUAAAACACGCAAUUACCAUAAGAGUUAAACAAUAUAAAAAGAGUUCUCAACUAAAUCUUCCAAAAGAGGCUUUCUCUUAUGGUUCACAUGUAAGUAUAUACUUUAAUUUACAUAAAAUUUAAUUUAACGAAUCCUAAUGAGCCUAUUUUCUGAACACGUACAAAUCAAUUUAAUGCAUAUCUUCACAUUUACACAAGAAUAAAGAAACUACACAUAUUUUUACUCCAUUGCUUCUGAAUUUAUAUAAUUCUUUCCAUUUAAUAUGAUUGAGUUUUUAUCCCUCUAACAAGGAAAAAUAUUAUAUAUAGAUACAAGGAAAGCCCAUUUCAUUAUCUAUCUUCUCUUUGAUUCAGCGAGCGAAAUAAAAACAAAAGGCCAAAAAUGGGUGCAGACGCAAUCCAAACGAACGGUCACGAUCCCGCCAAGUUAACCGCCGCGAGAGGGAUCCAACGGUUGAGAUGCGCCGUGAAGAACUACGAGUGGGGCAAACUCGGACCGGACUCACUUGUUGCGAGGCUCCACGAGGCGAAUUCAGGGGACCGAGUCGACCCGGUGGUUCCUCACGCCGAGUUGUGGAUGGGUACUCACGAGUCGGCACCGAGUUACGUUGUGAAGGAAGAAGAAUUCGGGUCGGGUCGUAAUGGAUCCGAAUGCAUGGUUACAUUGAAAUCAUGGGUUUUGGAUUAUCCGAAUUUACUCGGGUCUAGAGUCGUGGACAAAUGGGGUUGUGAUCUUCCUUUCCUCUUCAAGGUAUUAUAUUUUAAAAGUUUCCAAUUAAAACAUGUAUAUUCAAAACCUUCUUUCAAAAAAAAAAAAAAACAUGUAUAUUCAGAUUCUGUUUAUGGUAAAUCUUUUUGUUUUUCCAGUUUUGUCUCAUACAUAAUUGUUCAGGAACAAAAGUAUUAUUUAUUUGAUCCUAAGAUUCUCAUUUUGAAUAUUUUUGCUCUGUUUUGAGGAUUUUACUUUUUGACUCUGUUUUCUUAUAAAAUUUCUAAUUAAAAGUCAAAACAUAUAUAUAUAUAUAUAUAUAUAUGUAUUUUUUUGUAAUUUCAGAUUCUGUGAAUUGUCAAUUUCUCCACUUUUUAUAUUUACAUAUAUUAUAUAUACAGCCAAUUUGUCUUGUUAGAUACAUAUAUAUUUUGGCUCUGUUUUGAGGAUGAUACAUUUUAACUCUGUUUUCUCAAUUUAUAAAAAUGCAUUUCUUUUUCUCUGUGUGUUUUAAAUUUAAAACAUAAAGGUUUGAUUCUAAUGAAUAAGAGUUUGAUGUUGAAAUGUGCAAAAAAUAAAAACAGGUUUUGUCAGUGACGAAAGCAUUGUCGAUUCAAGCACAUCCAAACAAAGCCUUAGCAGAGAAAUUGCAUAGAGAAGAUCCUCUUCUUUACAGAGAUGCUAACCAUAAGCCUGAGAUUGCUCUCGCCAUUACUCCUUUUCAAGCUCUUUGUGGUUUCGUAUCUCUUAAUGUACUAGAUUCUUCACUUCUCUGCAAACAUCUAAUUUAGUCGGUUUUUGAUUUAGAUAACUUCGGUUAUUUUGCCUAUCACAUAUGCUAAAUCCAAAAUUGAACCGGUUCUGUACCACUUUUGAUAUCAAAUUCAGGAGCUGAAGGAAGCCAUCGCCAAUGUACCAGAAAUCACAGAGCUUGUCGGAAGUAAAGCAGCAGAUCAAAUCUUCAAAGUCAACGAACACGAUGGAGACGAAACAAGUGUUAAAUCCGUUGUCCGUUUGAUUUUCACGCAAUUGAUGUCUGCAAACAUCAAUGAUACAAAGCAAGUCAUAUCACAGAUGAAGAUUCGUCUGAUCUCAGAAACAAACCACCGUGAGUUAUCGGAGAAGGAGAAGUUAGUAUUGGAACUAGAGAAACAGUAUCCAGGUGACGUGGGCGUGAUCUCAGCAUUCUUCUUUAACCACGUCAAGCUUAAUCCCGGAGAGGCUUUGUAUCUUGACGCCAACGAGCCACACGCUUACAUUUCCGGCGACUGUGUUGAGUGUAUGGCGGCUUCAGACAACGUUGUUAGAGCUGGUCUCACUCCGAAACACCGCGAUGUUCAAACUCUGUGUUCUAUGCUGACCUACAAAUUGGUAACUUUCUUUACACGUUAACGUUUUUUUUGGUUUAGUUGGCUAGCAAAAUUUGGAUUGUACCCUAACCCUAACCAAAACCGAAAAUUUAUUUUUCUUUGUUUGGUUAUUGAUUAAUUGUACCGGAUUUGUUUCAGGGCUACCCGGAGAUUUUGAAAGGAUUUCCUCUGACUCCAUACAUUACGAGAUACCUUCCACCAUUUGAUGAGUUUGAAGUGGACCAUUGUGAUCUUCCUAGAGAGAAAUCCACUGUUUUUCCGGCCAUACCAGGGCCAUCGGUUUAUCUGGUUAUUGAAGGAAAAGGGACAUUGAAAACCGGUUCAUCUCAAUUGUUGGUUAAACGAGGAGAUGUUUUGUUUGUUCCGGCACAUAACGAGAUUCACGUAACCGGAGAAAGUGAUGUGAUGAAGCUUUACAGAGCUGGAGUCAGCAGCAGAUUCUUUCAAACAAUGUAGACUAAGUAAAGAUACAUAUAUAUAUAUUUAAUUUGUUAUCUAAAUGUAACCAUAGGGAUCAAGGCAUUGACGUGAUCAUAGUCAAUAUUGGUCCAUGUUCUUUAAUCCUACAAAUGUCCCAUUACGAAUCAAGGGUUCAAGGGGUUGUUUUUCUAUUAACUUUUGUUGUUUCUUCUACACCUUUAAAAUUGAAUUAUAUAUGUAAAAUGAUUAUAAAACAAUGUUUUUUUUUUUACUUUUUGCUAUUGUAGUGUAGUAACUAGUAAUUAUUCUUCCUUUACCUGUUUAAACUUUAAUUUCUAGAACUACUCUGCAAAAGCACAUUUGUUCAGUUGUAAUAUGUAGAGAUCGAACCACAGAGACGAGAAAUUCGCUCAAUAAACCUAAUAGACUCUAAUUGCGCUAAGAAGAAAUAAUGAAAUUGAGAGCAGCAAUGCAAUAAAAAACGGUUUUAAAUUCGAUGGGAAAGAAUUAGGCUCAGGGUGUUUCACAGAAAAUCAGAGAAUGCAGACAAAUCGAUUAGUCAUGAUUCAGAUUUAAGCGCAAUUCUUGAACUCAAAUCACGAAAUUAUAAUUAACUAACUUUUGUUGCGAAAAUUAUUUAAAUCUAAAUCCCAGAAUCCCAAUUUUCUUUGCAAUCCUAAAGAUAUAAAUUAGCCUUAAGUGCAGGUUCGAUAUGUUCACAAAGUGUCUAAACCAAUUUUUUUUGUGGAUAGCUACUUUGCUCAUCCUAGGUUCUUUCGGAUUAUUCAAUUACAGUUUCGUGUCAAUCAAUUAACCUAAGAUCUAAGUUCUAGGUGAUCAGUCCAAAAUUAGCUUUAAGAAUAAUCUAUGGUGAAUUACUAAUCAGAUUAUGACCCCUAACUAAUUAAUUAUCUAAAAUUCAAAGGGAUCCCUUAUGAGAACCCUAAACCUAACAAACAAACUACUCAAAUAUGGAGAUUGAAUCAAUAAACAUGAAUGAAUAGAUUGCAGAAAGCAGUAAAAAGAUUAAUAAACAGAGGUUCAAAAUCUUCUCUCAAACAAACAGAGUCUCAGACUUGUCUCCCUAAAAGCUCUCUCAAGAUCAAUAGAAAUCAAAAGUCUCAAAGAAAAUCUAGAGUGUAGCCAAAACACGUGGCUGAAAACCCUAUCAAAAGCUAAAACACAUGUUGGACUUCCCUGUAAAUAUUGGAGACUUCUGGGCUCAAGAGAUUCUUUAAAACUUAGACAAAAUCACGUUUUUCCUUAUUCACGACAUUGGUGUCGAGCAACACCAAAACAUAUAAAUCAUCUUUCACGAAUUUGAUCCCUGCUUAGUUCCAAAAUGCUCUAAAAUCUCCAAUUAAACUCCAAAUACAUUUAAGACCUGAAAAGACUCCAAAAAAUUAAAAAAACACUAAAGAGACUCUAUAAAUAAAACCUAUCAUGAUCAAAAACCAUAAAAAAAAACCAUGAUAUAUCAUUCUCCAUGAUAAGCAUUUUUCGAAUGGUCUGAGUCGAACAAAACAAUGUUCUCUAAAGUAUAAGGCCAAUUCUUUUUGCCUCCCUCGUCACUUACCUUUUGUUUGUGGCUUCCAUGGCAUAGACUAGAGAGAUGACCCCGAGAAGACCUAAUCUAGCACGCAUUUGUUUGGAUGUUGCUAAUGUUCCGUUUUAAAGUACAUAUGCAAAGAUCGUGGAAAGUAAAACGAACUCAAUCUUAAGUCUUGAGACAAUGAUUUUUGCCAAUUUUCCGGUAAGCUUUCCCGGUGAAAUCUUUCACUGGAAUGACCUGAUUAUGGAUGCGCUGGAAACUUGAGUACUAUAACGUGAUAUACUUAUAUGUCAAAAUCGAAUUUAAACUGAAUGAGAAAUGAGGAUUCUUAGAGAGUAUAGCUUGAAAGCUUAAAAAUAACAUAAGUUACCAAAUGACAAGUGUGAUUUGUCCCACAUUAGCAAUUCAACGUUACAUUUUGAACGUAGUGUUACGUUCUCCCCUUGAUAAUACUCAAUAGAUCUGCUUCUAGCCUGUCCCAACAAUCUGAUUCGGAUUGAGAAUUGCGGUUUUUGCGAACGUUGUUAAAGAUUUCCAAAAAAAAAAAUAUUUCAUUACGGCUUUUCACAUCAAAUCGGAAAAACUCUGCUUAGUUUUAACUUUUUAGGGAAUUUGAUAAAUAUUUGACAAACUUUGUGAAAAUAACUUUUGGAGUAGCAAAAUUCCGCAAAAAAAAAAAAAAAACUCAGAGUAAACUUACUGACAAAAGAAAAAAGUUUCCUCAAGUUGGUUUAGUCGCAUUCCUUUUGUCAAGCACUUAAUCCACUACAAAGACGUUUUGUUGUAAUUUAACCGAACUGAACAAUCAUUCCAAAUCUUAAUAAGCAGCUAAAGAGAGACAUUGAGAGACCAAGAUAAACCGGUUUACUUGCACCUACUUGCUGUUUGUUAAAGCUUUGGUUACAAAAUGUGAAACGAUUCCAACCGGACAGAAGAGAAGGCACAAUGAAACCGAAUGCCUCGUCUCAAUCUUAUUCUCUAGCCCAUCAUUAAAAACUUGCCUGCAGAGAAACACUCAAAACAUGAGUUAUAAGAAACAUGCUAGGAUCAAUCAGAACCUGAAAAGUGCAAUAUAGUACCUUGCAGCGAAAAGAUCUAUAACAAGAAGAUGAAUCCAAGCAGAAGCAAGAGUCAUUUCACUUGAGAACAUUUUCGCUAUUCCAGACAACUGCAAAUGAAAAAAAAAAAAAGAAAUUUUAGAAACUGGAAUGUACACAUUUUCUUGUUUUCGAUAUUUCCUGAUAAUUGGAGGAAAAAGCUAAAACCUCUGGCAACAUGUAUUUACUGGAAAACAUGUAUUUGAGAGUAUCAGGCGUCCAAGAAAGGUAUAACAAAUACGCGUAUAAUACGCCUAAGACGAUAUACGGUAUGCUACUCUCCAUACACUUUUUGGUCUGCACAAGGAGAAAACAUACACUCAAUUCAAUAUGAACUUUUUUGAUUCUGCACAAGAAGUUGUAAAACUGCUAAACAAAAACUCACAAUUUCAGCUUUUGGAGCUACAACCAUUAGAGUGUAAAAGGGUAAAACAGCGGUUGUUCCAACCGCAAAUACACUGCUUGCAAUCUGAGAAGUAGCUAUCCCUGCACAAGAACAUGUUAUGUCUCUGUCCUACUUUCAAUUUAAACAUUGAAGAGCUAUAGAUUCUAGACAUAUAUCAAGCCUCUUUUUGGUUUAUAAUGUUUCAGUUAAGAGACAUUACAUGAAGCUCGUACACCAGAGGAUUUCUUUUGAACAAGAGAGGACGAGUUCGAUGAAACAUUAGGGAAAAGUGCGAUUUUUGAUCCUCCGAUAAAGCUCCAACGAUUCUGAAGUCGAAUACUUGACGAACCAACGCAUAGUUUAGACUUGACAUUGCUGAGAGAAAGACUUGUUAUCGAGCUCUUAGCUGAAAUGUUGCGAUUCAUCAUCUGAAUCACCAAACAAAAUGAAUCAAUCUGAUGAAAUAUAAAAAACUUCUUUAUUUCUUAAAAUUUAGGAAUCUGAGACCAAAAGCACUUUGAUCUGAACAACAACGAAUCAGGAACAGAGUUAGGUUCUGUAACAGGGACCCAUGAGGAGUAAAUUCAACUUCUUUAAUGUCUGCGUCAAUUCGAUCUGAUUCAAAGGAUAAAACUUUAAGGUUACCCAUAAGGAAUCUGAACUAUUCGAAAUUGUAGAAAGCUCGACAUAAGAAUCUAAUCCGACAAUCUCCAACAACUGUACAUACAUACAUACAUACAUACAUACAUGAUACAUACAUACAUACAUACACACACAUAGAUAUAGACAUAUAUCUGCGUAUACCGAAAAUUGGAGAAGAAUUGAAAAAGGAAGAGAAAAGGUAGAUACCGAGAGAGAUGAAGAAGACAAAGGCUGGGAAAUGCAAGAAGAUAAAGCCAUCUGCGAUUCAAAUCUUCAAUAGUCUUUGCCAGAAUUUGGCCAUUCAUUACCUUCUUCAACGAGCUCUCUCCAUAUAUAUAUGUAAAGUAUCAAUUUUUAGAGAGGAGAGUUGAGAGUUUUCCACUGGUUGAAAAGGGUAAGUGGAGAAGAAGCUAAGAGAAAAAGUGCUCACUCACUCUUUCUUCAUCAGUGUGGACAAUUAUAGUUGCUCAUCCACCCGAAUUUUUUAAAAAAGUUUUGGUCUUUUUUAGUUUUCCUCGUUUACUUCUGUUUCGCAUAAACAAAAAAAAAAGAAAAAACCAUUAUGAGUUUGAGUUAAUUUUAAAGAGAAAAUCAAAUUUAAAGAUUCUUUAUAUUGUAUGUUCAAAAUUGCAAUAUAUUAUGGAAAAAAAGAGAAGAUUUUUUCCUAAUUUUAGAUAAAAACCUUUAAUAAAAAUCAAAAAAUUAUUAAGAUAUUAAUUUAACCUUAUAUUUUAGAUAUUGUUCUUUUUCUGGUCAAUAUAAAAAAUUACAGUUUACCAUUCUUAUAUAAAAAAAAAUUAAUUAGACUCAAAUGGAAUGUUUUUAUUUUUUUAACAAGAAUAUAACUUUCAUAGAACCUAAUACCCAAAAAAAAAACAUUUGACCCGACUAAAUUAAAAUUCAAGGAAAGAUUGGAGCUUUGAUCCUUUACUCGAUAAAAAAAAGGUUCUUCAUUGUAUGAUCAAAUGACUUGUCGGAUUGUAUUUGUAGGUGGCUCAUCGUAGGAUUAAUAGCUUCUCGGAUUUUGUUAUCCUUGUCUUGUGUUUUGCUUUUUCCGUGAAGAUCAAAAUUUUCUUCUAUACAUUCCUGCUAUAUAUUCCAUCAUGUUCUACCGGUUACACUUAUAAGCCUAUAAGGAUAUCUAAUCUACUUUUUUAUUUGAUAAAAACCUAAUAUCUUUGUUAAUGGAUAUUUGUGCUUAAACUGAAUUUAGACACAACACAGGUCUAGUUCAGGACAGAACAAGACAAAAGUGACAGUGCUACUUCUACUCAGCAGUGGUUGUGACUUCCUCUAAAGACAAAAGUUGGUGUUUCCACCAUUAUUUCGGUUUUGCUUUUAUUAUAUAUUUUAUUUUAAUUUAUUUUUCGCUACAUGAGAAUUGCAUUAACGAAGGACAUUAUAUAUGAAAACAAAAAAAAACAAUAAAAAGAUAUACAUACAUGUGUCUGACACUCAUUGUUUGUGAAAUCAGUUGGGAGUAAGAUAGCGCUUGAGUGGGCUAUUUGGUAUGAUAGCUUCUCUCUAUUGAUGGGCCUUAUUGACCCACCCCACUUCAGUUUUGUUUAGUCAUUCACAACAAGAAAAACAUGAAAACAAAAGCAACACUUGUCUUUUCUAUCUCUCAAUCUGUAAGUGGUAUAUGCGCAUUUCGUUGAAUUCGAUUGAGACCAAAACUCUUUUAAAACAUAAUGUAUAGUUCUUAGGAUUAUAUGGGGAAAAUAUAUGAUGUCUCAAAGAUUUUUCAUAACAUAUUAUAUUCCUUAUAAUAAAAGGUCACCUGGGGUUUUUCUAUAAACCGGGGUUUUUUUAUAAACCGCCGGCUUUUCUAUAAACCGCCGGCUUUGUCUCUGGAGAUGUUGUAUCAUCUGCCGGCUUUGUGUAAUCCGUUGGCUUUGCUCUGUAACACUAUGGUGAUCAAUAUAAUAAUAUUCAAUGAAAAAAAAAAAAGGUCACCUAAAUAAUUAAAAAUUUGAAUUUUUACGACUCAUAUUUCUAUCCUAUUCCAAAGCUAGGAAAACAACAUAAAGAGUUACAAAUUCUUACUAUAUAGUACUUCCAACAAUAUCUUUAUGUAAAUUUGUGCCAAGUCAUUUUGAGUGGAAAAUGUAGAAUAUAUGAUCCACAAGAUCCUUGAAUAUACUUGGGUAUAUAGAAAUAAAAAUGAAUAUCCGAGACUCUUAUCUACAAGCCUAUCCUUAAGAAGGCACGUCCACGAAUGUUUCUAUCACAGAUUUUCAGUGGGCCAUCAUCUAUUACUUCAAGAUAUUGUUCUAAAAAUGCAUCUCAACCUCAAGCUUACUAAUCAUGUGACAAAAGUGAUAAUGUGAAUCUAGUUUUUCAAAUAAUUUCUUUAUUCAAUGACGACUAAUCAAAGAGUUGGUAUAUUUUUGUAUUCACAGUUCUUCAACUUUGUAUAUUUUCAUAUCUUGAGCCGCAUUGUAAUUUGUUUUUUCUUAUAUGCAAAAUUCAAAAUCAAAGAUUUAUAGAACAUUACAUAUUUAUUUCAUCAGACAUUUGAGAAUCCGAUAGAAAAUGUCUCGCAAACCGGAAAACAAACGUUAAAUCCGGAAAUUAAAACAAAACUAAGGAAACCAAAAAAAAAAAAGCAGAUGAUAAAAUCAAAGGUGAGGAGGGAGAUAAAGUUUUUUUUUUUUGAUGUUUACACAAAGCAAAGAAGCAGUGAAAUUAAGCAUCGGUGAAGCUUGCUGGCUUGUAGGCGAUGAAACUGAUGCACUGGACUUGACGGGUGUUGUCGAAUCCGAUGAUCCUAAUGAAGGCCUGGGGGUACUCCUUCUUGCACUCUUGCACUUCCUUCAACACUUGAGCUGAGUCAGUGCAUCCGAACAAAGGAAGCUUCCACAUUGUCCAGUACCGUCCAUCGUAGUAUCCGGGAGUGCUUCCGUGCUCACGGUGCACAAAUGCGUUCUACAAAAACACAUUACACAAAACCAUUCAAAAACAUAAAUCAAGAUUCUGCUUAGGACCUCUAAAUAGUUAUUAACUUGAUUGCAAGAUUCAUAUGGUCCAAGAGAUCAAGCUACUCUAUAAAUGAUUUUUAUUACCUCCAACUCGAAUUCAACACAGGGAAUCCACUUGUUGCGGAGAAGGUAGUCAACUUCCUUAGCCAAUUCAACUUCGGUUAGGUCAGGAAGGUAAGAGAGAGUCUCAAACUUCUUCUUACCAAUAGGAGGCCACACCUAUUUUUUGCCAUUUUUCCAAAAUCAACAAAAACAAUAUUAGUUUAUAUGAUUCGAUAAAUCAAAAACCCAUAAAUUUGUUUUUGGUAUAAGAGAUUUGACCUGCAUGCAGUUAACUCUUCCGCCGUUGCUUGCGAUGGAAGUAAUGUCGUUGUUGGCCUUACGGGUCACAGGGAAAGCAGCGGAGGACUUAAGUCCGGUGAAAGGUGCGACCAUUGUGGCCUGAGCCGGAGAAGCGACCAUUGUAGCGGAAGAGAGCAUAGAGGAAGCCAUAUUGCCUUUACUCUUUUUGUGUGUGACUUAGGUUUGGUCUAGUGCUUUGGUCAUCUAUAUAUAAUGGUAACAACAAUGAUAACAAGGUGAGGGAGUGAUCGGAGGGCUCAGGAUCCAUGAGAUUGAAGUUGAAUAGGAUUAAGACCGUUGGAUUUUUGAGUGGAUAUGUGUGAGGCUUAAUUACAUGGUAACGGCCACAAAGCCUAAAGGAAAGGUGUUGAGACCCUUAUCGGUUUGAAUCACUAGAAAAAUGCCACGUGGAAGAUAAUUCCAUGAAUCUUAUCGUUAUCUAUGAGUGAAAAUCUGUGAUGGUGGUGCUACUCAUUUUAUUUUCCGGUGUGGGUUUAGCCUCUUCCUUUGGGGGAGAUAAAUAUUACUACUUAAAAGGCUUUUAAAUUUUCAUUUUCUUUUUAAACCUUGGGUUUGAUUAACGAUAACGUCAGGCCCAAAGUGAUUGUAGAAAAAUAUUGUAGUCAGAUUGCAAGGUGAUGUGAAUUUUUAAUUUACUAAUAGCAUCUCCAAGAAAUAACUUUUACAUUUUAAGUAUGUUAGAUCUUAAAUUUAAUGUUUGAAGGCAGGACAUAUCUCUAAAGGCAACUUCAAAUUUUCAAAUAUGAGGUUUUGUUCACCCCAAAAUAGCAUUAAAACUUUAAAUUUGAGGUUUAUAAUUUUUUAUUUACAUUUUAAUCUUUACAAUUAUAUAUUUCAUAAAUAAUUAUUUUAUUUUUAGCUUUACUAUUCUAAUCCAAACAAUUUUAUAUCUCAUGAAUACUUCACAUUUCUCUUUAUAAAUUUUAUAUUUGCAUAUAAAAUGAAAUUACAAACUAAAAUUAAAAAUACCAAUAUGAAAUAAUAUUACAUAACAUAAGAACCAAAUUUUACACAACAACAAUAUUACAUUUAAAAAUUUUAAUACAAAAUAAAGUAACAAAAAUAUAUAUAUAUAAAGUAGCAUAAAAACUUCAAUAUUACACAAUUGAAAAUAGUACAACAAAACUAAUAUUCCGGUAAGUAAUAAAGUUGUAUGAUAUUUAUUAAUAAUGAUAUAAAUAAGGAUUAUAAUGUAAUAUUUUAAAAUUUGUGAUAUUGGAUUUGAGGUUUUGCUUUUGGAGACAAACACCAUCAAACCUCAAAUAUGAGGUUUGACCAACUCAAAUUUGAAGUCCUCUUUGGAGCAGUGGCGGAGGCAGCAUAGUUUUAGAAGGGUCAACUGACCCAAGUAAAAUUCUUAAAAAAAUAAAAUUGUUCUUGAUUUUUUUUUUUAAUUUAUCCAUCUUCCAAGCCCAAAAUAAGAAUUGACCCCCCUAGAAUUUAAAAUUUAUUUUAAUCCUGACCCAUGUAACUAGUUUUCUUGCCUCCACCACUGUUUUGGAGAUACUCUAAAUGAUAAAACCACAAAAUAAAAUUUCAAAACAAAAUUGUUUUUUAUUUUGCAUUAUAAUGUUUUAUUAUGGAUUAUAAUUACCUAAAUCAUAGAACUUUUAUAAAUAGCUACAAAAAUAUAUAUUAGAAAAUAUUACAAGCAAUACUAUAAAAUUUUGAUAUUAAAUUACAUAUAAAUAACAAUAAAGCACAAAAUAAAUCAUAAAUUACAAUUAAAAUACCAAACUAAUGAAUGAAACUAUUACCAUAGUGCUCCAAAAUUAUUUAGCAUCUAUAUUUUUAUUGUAAUUUGCUUGAUAAAUGUAAAAUUUUUAUGAGAUAUAAAACUGUAGGAGCUCAACUUAUAAACAGAAAAAUUAUUACGAUUAUUUUUUAAAUAUAUAAUUGUAAAGAUUGAAUGUAAAUGAAACACAUAAAAUAUUAAAUUUGAGGUUUUGAGAGUUCUAUGUCAAAUUCUUAUCUUUUUAUAGAGUUUAUUAUCAUAUUUUCACGGGAACACACAUAAUAUUUAUCUUGAUUUCGUACAUUAAAUUUUGAUUAAUAUCGAGUUGUGGCUGUCCAUAGGAUUGUUUGAUUUCACUUGGUGAACUAAUGAUCCACGAGAUAGCGAACUCAAUAAUUAGAUGUUGAAUGAGCUUCUCAUACCAUAGGCCUUUUUAAGUUUUUAAUGAUAAUAAGCUUUUUCUUUUCUGAACCAUGCUUUAAUAUGAGAUCUGAAUCUGAUACCAAACAACAUGUAAAGUAUGAUCACAUGUAAGCUUCUUCUAUUUAACGGAAAUUUCUAAUUUGCGAUUUAACAUAGCUCUUUGACCAACUCAAUUGGGUUUGCAAUCGAAAUUUAUGGAAUAUAUCUUCGAUCAAAUGAUAUCUAAAGAGUUCUCUACUAGAAAGCUCAUAACUUAUGUAUGUAUUUUUCUUUUCUAUAAUAAAAUUAAGAAGUAUUUUUAUUAUAUAAAAGAGAAUCUUUCGGUAUGGAAACAACAUGUAGGAUAAUUAUAACUUACGAAAUCGCAACAUAAGUCAUUGUUAAUUUAGAUGGUAACAUUUAUCAAUACAAUAAUAUAAAAUUUCUAAUUUUAGUAAUUUGUUUUUUUUUAAAUUAUGUUUUUUUUUUAAAUUAUGUUUUUUAAAUAACACUAAUAAAAUAGAAAAAGGUAAAAUAAGAGGAAAAAAACAGAAACUAUGAAAUAGAAAAAAUAUAAACUAGAAAAUCUACAAUCUAUAAUAUAUUUUUUUACUUUAAAAAGAUUGUUUAUUAAGUUUGAAUUUUCUAAUGAUAAAUUAAAUAUAAUUUGUGGAUGAGUUAACAAGAUUUUAAUUUAAAAUAUACCUAUAUAUAUACUGAUCUUAAUGAAUUAUCAUUUUUAAAAUCUAAAUAUUUUAACAAUCUUCUGCAAGUCUAGUUAAAUAUAAAACGUAAAAAACUUAUCAAUCCAAUGAUUAGAUAAGAACUAAUAUUUAUCUUACACUAAAUAUAACUUUCAACCUAAUAAACCUAAACUACAUUAGAUCAAUGCUGAAUUAUUAAUAUUUAGAGCUUAAAUCUCUUUAAGAAAAAUAUACAAAAACAAAAUUCUAUCAAAAAACAUAGCAAAUUUAAAAUCGAUUAUAAAUCAAAUGAAGUUUGAGAAAAGACGAAACUAUUUGCAAUUUAAAUUGUGAUGGCGUUUAUUCAAUUUAGUAAAAAGAGGAGCAUUUCAAAAUCAAAUUUAAAGUAGACAGUUUUGGUGAACAUUGACCAAUAUCUGCCAAAUAUGAUAUGACCCCAAACAUAAAUUCAUGAUCAAACACUAAACAUGUUUUCCCAAAUCCAAAAGCUUUAAAAAUUAAAAAUCAAAAUACAAUCAAAAGCAAAACUAAAUCGAUGAAAUUAUAUCAAAUAACAUCGAAAGAAGAGAUUUAAGCUCCACGAUUACGAUUACAUCCACUUGAAAAUAUGGAUCAUCUGAAGAUUAUAGAGUUGCUUGGACAAAUUCUAAGUAGGUGGAAUUUAUCUCACUAAAUUUAAACUACUUUCUUUGGUGUUUUUUUAAUUUUAAUUUCAUCCAUUUAAUUUUAGGCACAUUUGAUUGAGUUUAUAUUUUAGGUCAGAGUCUAAUUUGUGGUAUUGGUUACAAAGAUGAUGAUAAAACAAAAAUUAAUUCGUAGUGAUUUGCGGGAGCAAUUCACAAACCUUACAACAUUUUAUAUAUAAUGCUUAAUUUGAUCAUAUGAUGAAAAUAAUAUUUACAUAACACUAACACUAAAAUCUACACACUGAGUGAUUAGAAACGUUAUAAAGUGAUAAUACAGAAAAAAUAACUAGUUUUGUCAAUCUCCUGUAAUUGACUUUUGCACAAAUUUAUGAUAGUUUUGCAUUAAAAAAUUUGUAAAGAGAAAUAAAUCCUAAAAUAAUCUUACAAACACCUUAGUUUGCUAUAGUAACCUACCUCACACAAAUCCUAACCAAUAUAACCUUACCAAAGUUGGAAAAGAUCUUUUUUCCUAGUUAACUAUUUAUUAACAAAAAUACCAUUAUUUAAAUUAUUUAUUUACGAUCUUUAUUUUUUAAAAAAAUUUCUGAAAUAACAAUUAAAAAUCUUUUCAUUAAUAAAAUUUUUUAUGAAAUAACUAUUAACUUAAUUUGAAAAACUGUUUUGUUGUGACAAAACAACAGACAAAAAAAUUGUCGGUGACGAUGAAGAUGAAGAUGAAUCCGACAUUUCGCUUGUUCUCCAGUGACUCCGUCGAAUCCCGUGUCUUCUUCCCUGAAAUUUUUCUCGAAGUUGUUGUAGCGUCGGCUGUGUAGAGGAAAAGUUUCAGCAUUGGUCGUUAGAUCAUGUAUGAUGAAGUUACAGCUUUUAAAAAUAAAACUAAACAUUAAUUUUUGUGUGUUGCAGGAAUGGACAUUCAUGUAUAGUAUACUUGUUAGAUCAUGUAUGAUGAAGUUAUUGUUUUGUGUAUGUAUUGUAUAGUUGUUGAAUCAUGUAUGAUAUUGUUAUUGUUCCGCGUAUGUAUGGUUGAGUUGUUAAAUCAUGUAUGAUAGAGUUAUUGUUUUUUGUAUGGUAUAGUUGAUUCAUGUAUGAUAGACUUGUUUAACCAUAUAUAGUAUGGUAAUGUUACUGAAUCGUGUAUGAUAUACUUGUUGAAUCAUCUCAAUUGAUGAGUCAACAUCGUCAAUGACAGUUUUGAACUCUAUAUUUUCUAUGAUCUCGACGCAUAGAUAGACCGUCUCGUUUUCAAAUUGACGUAAAAACCCAGCAAAUUGUCGAGUACUUGCUACAAAAACCGGAGAUAUAUCUUAUGAUAGUUUUUGCUUGUAUCUCUUUGAUUUACCAACAAAAUCAAAUCUACCAUCAAAAGAUGGAAGACUUUAUUUUCAACUGAUGGGCUUGCGGGUCUAAGGUAGUUUUUUUUAACAAGCCCGUUGGUUCUCCAAAAGUUUUUAAUUUAUAAAACCUUAGUGUCUGCAAGUGCAUAGAUGUACGUUGUAGGACUUAGGGUGUCGAUCCACAAGGAGAAUGUCUAAUCUGCGAGAAACAACAAACUGGGAAGUAAGCAAAGUCAUAAACCAAUAAAAGUUUUGGGGUUUUUGGUUGAUCUUAAACUAAACCUAAUCUAAUAUUCACAAGAAAUGCAAUGCAUGAUAAAUUGUUAAAAGAACAUCUAAAACAUAUCGACUCAAACUAAAGACUCUUAAACUCAUAGGUGAUGAUUUAGACUUCUCUGGUUUACUCUAAUCAAUGUAUGAUGGCAUUUCCAAUUAGCUUCCGGGCGAUUUAUUUUCAUCUGUUUCUGGGAAUCUGCAUGGAACUAUAAUAGACAUAUGUAUGAUUAACCAAAUCUCGUCACCUUAAUCAACUAAUCUCUUAGAUCUAGAAAUUAACUCUCGCUCUCAUGCUAAACUUAAGAUCAUGCAUUAAACAUUGAAUUUGUCUGCUCACAUCUUCUCUAUAGGUAGCUUUCGACUCCUAUAGCGACUAUGUUCUUCUGAAGCUAGGUAUGGAUGAUCUGAUACAGCACUCUCGUGACUCUGAUCGAUCCUAGGCUCAGAGAAUAGGUCAUGAAUCUACUCUCAUGCUUUAUGAACAACUUAUAAGAGAUGAGAUCCAGAAUAUGGUCUAGAACAAUAGAAAUCCUAAUCGAUAUCUAUGCUUGUCGAUAUCUUCAAACAACUUGAAUCUCUAGACUAAUCUACAUGAUGCAAUAAAUGAUGAAAGACAUAGAAGAAUGCAAAAGAAUGAAACAGAAAAGUUAAUAAGUUAAAAAGGAGAAAGAACAAUGGAUCUGGGGAAAAAUCCCCAUUUCCAUCGCCUAGCCCUAGAAAAACAGAGUUUAGUGGCUCAAAAUCUCAUUACAGGAGCACACACCCGUUUAGAGCUGCUAAACAAUGUAUUUAUAGGUCAUAAGGUCUUCCAGGUCUCAUUUAGGGCUUUUCUGAGGAGAAAUGGCGAAGUGGGUUUUGAUGUUGGGCCUUGUGGCUCGUCCUAAGGUCCACCGGGGGUGAGAGUAUUCCAGGGCAGGUAAAACAUGUGUUUACCGCGGGUGAGAGUCUUUCGGGACUAGUAAACUGAAUCAACUUGUUCUCUUUUGAUUGCACCGGUGGAUAUUUGUGAUGUAAAGUUCUAUGUAAAGCUGGUUGGCUCCUCUUGAUUGUCUCCAAAUUUGAGCUGGAUCAGACGGUGGGAAGACCUUCAUUUGUUACCAAACUUCCGACGGUCUAAUUCGGAGCUGAAAAAGUGGAUUUCUUCCAUUUUGCCAUCAUUUUCCCUAAGUUUCCUGAAAAGAGCCUUGAAACUACAAAUACAUGGAAAUCAUAAUAAAAGUUCCUAAAACUAAGUAAAACCUUUGAAAAAACAUUUGAAAUCAAUGGUGAAAAUGAGUCAAAAUCAGGUGUUAUCAAUUCCCCCAGACUUGAGACUUUGUUUGUCCUCAAACAAAACUAGACCAAAUCUGGAAAAUAUCAUUCAACAAAAAUGAGAAGGAACUUAAAAAUAUCAGCAACCAUACGUCUAGACCUUAAUUAUGGACAAUGGAUCAAUCAGAUCAAGUCUAGAAAAUUCUCACCAAAAUACAAACAUAACUAGUCCGUUAAUCCGUCAUGCGAAAAUCCACACACUUAGAACUAACUUCCAGUCAACUUGCUCUUAACAUUCAUUAAAGGUUUCAAUGGUUCUCAUCAAAAGGAUAUUAAACAAGGCAUUCAAGGUUAGGUAUCAAAGGCUUUUUAAUGGUAAGGCUGAUGUGUUUAGUGUUACAUGUUUCUGGAGAGACAAGAUAUUAUGCAAAACAGCAAGAGAUGAUGGAACUGUAAAUGCUCCCACAGUUUCUGUCACAUUAUUCUUGCUUUAAGAUUUCUGAUCUCUUUUCUUCAAGUUCUCCUUAUAAAUCCCCCAGACUUAGAUUUUUGUCCAGAAUGUGAAUCCAUAACUCCUUAAGUGAAUACCUAAUGACUUGGCUCAAGUGAUUUCGGCUUCUAAGACUCUUUUAGGCUUUUGGUUUCCUUUCCUUUCUUUCUUUUUCUUUUUUUUUUCUUUUUUUUUUUGAAAGGGGAAACUGCCUUUUGACUUGGAGUCUUAGGGAGCACGAAAAUUACCUUUAAGAAUGAGUUUUUCUGAGGCAUCAUACGAUUUCUGGCACACUCCCUUCUGGUCUCUUUCAGUCUUUCUCUUGAGUGACUGAAAACUGUGUUGUUCCUCCCUCUCCGACGUUUUUGCACAUAUCUGUCAAAUUAGACCUAAAAGAAUGUAAGAAAUUAGAACAUGAAGAUUUGGGUUAAGGCUGUGGUACCAGCUAAUGAUGAACUGGCCAUCUAGGACAACAAAGAAUGGUAACAAUAAGGUAAAGAUGUCCAAGAUGUAUAUCAUGAUGCCUUUUUAAAACCAUUGAUGAGAAAAUUAGAUGUCAAGAUUAAGUCCAAGUAGAAUGAGCUAGUAUAUCCUGUCAGAAAUGAUCUUCAUGAAUAGAAGUCUUCUGGUGGGAUUUUGUAGUGUAAGUAUUCUAGCUACUGCAUAGUCUAGUACUAAACCUUGAAAGAGCUUUCAUGAGUGAUUGGUGUAGAAGCAAACAGGUUGGUUAUCAUCAUCGAUUUUUUCAUUAUUCUUUCAAAAUGUAUUUGACCCUUUGAAAACACUUUUUGAAACUCAAAAGACUUUUGAAAAGUUUUUAAACAAUCGAAAAAAUGAAAAAUUUUAAAGAAAAUGCAGAAUGCAAGGGCUCAUGCAAGAAAAAGUGGUUAGAAAGGGAUGAAAUCCUCCCCCAGACUUAAAUCACACUGUCCCCAGUGUGAAAUAAAUCAGGAAAGGAUGAGAAAUAGAGUAUGUAAGAAUUUAAAAAGAUUAAGGAAGGGAGAAGUUACCUGGUGAUGGUGAUGGAUUGUGAGGUGGUUGUGGUGGUGAUGCUUGAUCAAACUUGGAUGCUAGGAAUCCAAAACAGAUUUGAUCAAGGUGGUGGUGGAAGUGGCCGAGGGUGGCCGGCUGGUGCUGGCCGCGGAUGAAGACAUCCCGGCCACGGUAGGACGCGUGCUGGCCGCGGUUGAAAGCAUCGCGGCCGCGGUGGAAAGCUUGAUGGCCGCGGCUGAACCUCCUUUGGCCGCGGUCAGCUCCUUUUUUUUGUGGCAUACUAAGACCUGUCUAAAAUGAAAGAAACAAAACUUUAAUAGAAAAUGAAAGCUAAACAAAAGCAAAUAAGUACCUAAAUGGGUUGCCUCCCAUUUAGCGCUUUGCUUUAUAGUCCUUAGCUAGACUUUGCAAAGAAAAAGACUUAGUUCAAAUAGAAUCUUGUCUUAAGACAAGUCUUUUUAGAAAUCUUCCUGUUCUCUCUUGCAAGUUCUUCAUCACUGCAGAGUUCUUCUGGUUCAAAUGUCUAGGCUUUAUGCUUUCCUCUUUUACUCUUAAGUAGUGUAGCUUCAUAGAAGAUAUCCUUGUCGAUAUUGGAAAAAGAAACUCUCCUGUUGGGCCAAUCCAUGAUGGCUCCAGCAGUUGCUAGGAAAUGCUAUCUAAGAAUAACUGGAUAAGAGUCAUCUUUGUUCUUCACUAUGUAUAGAUCGACAGGUGCAAUGCAAUCUCCAAUCUUUAGAGGAAUGUCUCGGGCUAUCCCACUUGGUGUUGCACUUGAAUCAUCUGCUAAGCUAAUCUUUGUCAUGGUACUUGAGAUGUGCUUAAUGCCAAGUAUCAAAGCAGUUGCUUUAGACAUCAUGUUAAUACAAGCUCCAGAAUUACAAAGAAUAUUGAGGAAUCUUACACCUCUAAUGUCACAAGAGAUAAGAAAUUGACUUCUGUCUUGAACUUUGUGCAGAGUUCAAACUGGUCUUUCCUGUGGAUGAUCUGGUGCCUCAAAUGCAGAAUAAGAAUCACAAUAGAACUUGGCAGCAUCGAACUCGAUGAUUGAAUCUAUGUAUGGCAUUUCAAUUCUCUUAGGUGAUUCAUCCUCCACAUCUAUGACAUCUGGUUCUUCUUCGGUGGUCUUCAUGAAUGGGAUAUGGGAGUCAUCCUCUUCUGGUUCAUCAGGGUCUUGGUGAUGCGAACUUGGAGGGAGAUGGCGGUUCCCCGCAGGUGGAGACGUUGCAUCCGCGGUGAAGAAAAGUUCGGCCGCGGUGGGGAAUCCCGAGGGUUGCUCAGCUGCUUCUCCUUCUUGCUCUUCCAGAAUGUCUUCAGGGUUAUUCUGGGUGUCCAUUGUAGGAUUUUCUACAUCAUAAUUGGUUGAUUCUUCUUCUUUUUUUCUGACCAUGAACAAGAGAAUCAUUCUUAUGAUUCUCAAAGUCUUUCUCACAACAAGGUUUGUGUCUCCUUGGCACUUAAAGAGAUGUUUGAUGUCAGAACUGGUUUUCAUGCUCUUGUGCUCAAGCUUACUCAGGCAAAAUUCAAUCUCUUGAAGUUCACCAUCUCUCCUUCCUCUGUACCAUGAAACGAUUUCAUUGGCAUCCUUGAUCUCUAGCUUAGCAGCAUUGGCAUCGAUGGAUCCUUGAAGGAUAUCAUACUUCUGUCUUGGAUGCUCUUCCUCAAAAGCAUCUAUCUUCCUUUUUAGGGCAGCAAUGUCUUGAGAGUGCAGAUCUUCUAGCGAUUUCACAUGGUGAGUGAGGUCAUCGAUCUUCUUGUACAGGAUAGCUUCCGUAACAACUUGAAAAUCAAGGUAUUGAUUCAGCAUAGCUCCUAAUCGUUUCAGUUGGAGCCUCAAUCGAUCAGCCUCAGCGUUUUGGUGCAGAAUCUGAUGAGGAAGAGGAUGAGAUGGUCGAUGAUUCACCAGGUGUGGCGAAUAGGGCUCAUCUCGAUGAUGUGGAGGUCGUGAAUCUCCAUGGUGGUGGUUCGGAUUAGGGUUCUGAAGAUGAUGAUCAAAAUCACGCCUGGAUGGUGAUUCACAUGCGCAGGGAGCUUCACACAGGUCGCAGGACCUUCGCUCGGGGUUAGGAUUUCUCCUUGGAUGAUCCAUGCUUCAAAGGUUUCUGAAACUAGGGCAUACAGAAGAAAGAAUAAGCAGGAAAAGAAAAAGUUAUGGUGUUUAUGAAUUUAGUUUACUUCCUAUGUUGCUUUGGCAGAAACUCGACAUAUAUAUAGUCUUCUGUGGCUUCAACCUCCCAGGUUUAGACCUCUAGAGACUAAAAACCUCCCCGGCAACGGCGCCAAAAACUUGAUGGGCUUGCGGGUCUAGGGUUGUUUUUUUAACAAGCCCGUAGGUCCUCCAAAAGUUUAAAAUUUAUAAAACCCUAGUGUCUGCAAGUGCACAGAUGUACGUUGUAGGACUUAGGGUGUCGAUCUACAGGGAAGAUGUCUAAUCUGCAAGAAACAACAAACUGGGAAGUAAGCAAAGUCAUAAACCAAUAAAAGUUUUGGGGUUUUUGGUUAAGAUCCUAAGCUAAACAUAAUCUAAUAUUCACAAGAAAUGCAAUGCAUGAUGAAUUGUUAAAAGAACAUCUAAAACAUAUUGACUCAAACUAAAGACUCUUAAACUCAUAGGUGAUGAUUUAGACUUCUCUGGUUUACUCUAAUCAAUGUAUGAUGGCAUUUCCAAUUAGCUUCUGGGCGAUUUAUUUUCAUAUGUUUCAGGGAAUCUACAUGGAACUAUAAUAGACAUAUGUAUGAUUAACCAAAUCUCGUGACCUUAAUCAACUAAUCUCUUAGAUCUAGCAAUUAACUUUCGCUCUCAUGCUAAACUUAAGAUCAUGCAUUAGACAUUGAAUUCGUCUGCUCACAUCUUCUCUAUAGGUAGCUUUCGACUCCUAUAGCGAUUAUGUUCUUCUGAAGCUAGGUAUGGAUGAUCUGAUACAGCACUCUCGUGACUCUGAUCGAUCUUAGGCUCAGAGAAUAGGUCAUGAAUCUACUCUCACGCUCUAUGAACAACUUAGAAGAGAUGAGAUCCAGAAUAUGGUAUAGAACAAUAGAAAUCCUAAUCGAUAUAUAUGCUUGUCGAUAUCUUCAAAUAACUUGAUUUUCUGGGACUAAUCUACAUGAUGCAAUGAAUGAUGAAAGACAUAGAAGAAUGCAAAAGAAUGAAACAGAAAAGUUAAAAAGUUAAAAAGGAGAAAGAACAAUGGAUCUGGGAAAUAAUCCCCAUCUACAUCGCAUAACCCUAGAAAACAGAGUUUGGUGGCUCAAAAUCUCAUUACAGGAGCACACACCCGUUUUGGACUGCUAAACAAUGUAUUUAUAGGUCCUAAGGUCUUCCAGAUCUCAUUUAGGGCUUAUCUGAGGAGAAAUGGCGAAGUGGGCUUUGAUGUUGGGCCUUGUGGCUCAUCCUAAGGUCCACCGGGGGUGAGAGUCUUCUAAUACAGGUAAAACAUGUGUUUACCGCAGGUGAGUCUUCCAGGACUGGUGAACUGGAUCAACUUGUUCUCCAUGUAUCUUUUGAUUGCACCGGUGGAUCUUUGUAAUGUAAAGUGCUAUGGAAAGCUGGUUGUCUCCUCUUGAUUGUCUCCAAAUUUGAGCUGGAUCUGACGGUGGGAAAGCUUCCAUUUGUUACGAUCUAACUCUAAGCUGAAAAAUUGGAUUUCUUCUAUUUUGCCAUCAUUUUCUAUAAGUUUCUUGAAAAAAGCCUUAAAACUACAACUACAUGGAAAUCAUAAUAAAAGUUCUUAAAACUAAAUAAAACAUUUGAAAAAAAAUUGAAAUCAAUAGUAAAAAUGGGUAAAAAUCAAGUGUUAUCAUCAAUGUGUGAUAGUUGAUGCUGAUGUGAAAGAGAAAUAGUAAUAACAUUAUUGUAAAUAUGUUUUUUCGACAAAGCUCAAGAAGAUAUAAUACUAGCAAUAGUUCAAUACCCUCAAAUAUCUAAUAAUUUUGAAUUUUUAUGUUAUUCUAGUAAUUUCAGCACUUUGUAAAAUUGAAAUAGCAAUCUUCUUAUUUAUAAAUUUGAUUUUUUGUCAUAAAUUUAUUAUUGAGUAGCAACAAAGUAUAAUUAGCAAUGUACUAGAUUUUACCAGACUAGUGGAAACUCUAAUCUAUUGCUAAAAUUUCAAAAGCCAAUUUUCAGUAAAUUCUUGAUUCAGCAGCUUUUAGCUAAAAUGCGUCUAGGAUCUUUACCAGGUUUUUUUAGUACAAGAACCUUAUUUUUUUAAUACAGAAAUCUAGUACAAGAACCUUAUUGUUUUAAUACAGAAAUCUAGUACAAGAACCUUAUUAUUUUAAAUCUUUUAUUUUAAUACAGAAAUCUAAGCUCCUCCUACGGUUCAGCCCACAAUUCCGAAAACCAUGGAAAACGCGAGCCCCUUGGUUUUUGAAACUUUGAAUAGUCUAUUGUUGGGUAUAUAACUUAAAGUAUUAUUAAGAGCCUAUUUAUAUAUAUUGGCUUUCUCCUAAAAUCAUGGAGUGAUUGGAAGAUACAAGAGGUUUUGUCCAACAUUUUUAAAUCGAAGUCGAAAAACUAGGAUGAUGUGAUGAUACACACGCGCGGCCAUAUGGGUACCAACCCCUAUCUUUCAUUAUUCUUUUUGGACUUUUCCUUCUUUUUUCCUUCUUUUUUCCCCCUAAUAUAUCUAUAUUUUUGGACAUUUUUGCAUGGCAUCUUCAUCUAUCUCUCCUCCAUUUGUCGUUCUUUUUCAGUUCAAUGUAUUAUCAACAAGAGUUCACUAACCUUUUUUUUUGUCGACUUUAUGAGUUCACUAACCUUUUUAUUUUAGACAUUCAUGGGUUUGUUUUUAGCUCGACUUUUUUUUUCUUUUUUCUAGAUUUGGAUUUUUCUAGCUUCACUUUUGAUAGAAUUCGGGAGAAAUAUAAAUUGAUAAACAAAAGGAAGAGUUAACGUCUGAAAAAAAAGGAAGAGUUAACGUUGGAUUGACAAAAAAAGCAAGAGUUAACGUUGGAUUGACAAAAAAAGGAAGAGUUAACGUUGGAUUGAAAAAAAAAAAAAACGUCGGAUUAUGUAUUAGAUAAACCUCCAUGAUCCAUAUAUAAAUAUUUAUAUCAUUGUAUAAAUCUAGCUAGAAAAUUGGUCCUGUCAUAUAUGACAAUAAUUAUAAUUUUUUAUUAAUUUGUUUAGCAUAACACGACAAAAAAAUGAGUUGUAUGUUCAUGUAUUGUAUGCCUCUGUUUUUCAACCUAUUACCUAUGCAUCCUAAUAAUAAUGGAUCAUCAUCUUUGUCUGUCAAUCACAAUUUUAGAGCAAUAUAUGAUAGUUUGGUUCCUCGGUUAAAUUCUAUUUAUGCGAUCAACAAAAUAGUGUAUUGCACAUAUCAUUUGAUUCUUUUUCUAUAUGUAAAGGAAUUAGUAUCUUUUACAAUAUAAAAUUAUUUUUAAAUGUAAUUUUCUUAUAUCAUUGUAAUUUUAUCGGAUGUCUCCCAAAAAAAAAAAAUCUAUACAAAACUUCUAAAUAACUUGAGAGGACUAUGAAUCUGCUAACUAAAAUUUUAGAGCAAACAUCAUCACAUAUUUUUUCAUAAUAAACAGUAUAUUGAUGUGUAUUUGGUUGAGUCUUUUUAUCAACUUAUAUGAGAUCAUAUAAUCAUUGCAUGUUAUUAUUUCGCAGAAUAUCUUCAUUAGUUAUGGGGGAGAUAAUCGCCACCCAUGUGAUAGCCGACAUAAAACAGUUAUCAUAGGUACUAACAGGAUGUAAAGGCUAUACAUACUCUACAAUGGCUAUAUGUUAAUUUUGCUUUGAUAAAAAAAUUCGCAUCAACGAAAAUCAAUUUCCAAUUUGACUCAAAAUAAAAGAAUUUGUUGUUUAGCGUAAUUGCCUAAUUGGUAAGCAGUUUUAGAAUUUAGUGACACAUUCAAAAUCUCUCAAGUCUGAUUCUACGAAAUACAAAGAAUAAUACGUUUGAACUAAGUGGUUUUUAUCAUUACGAAAGCUAUAAAAUGCAAACAAUGACACGUUCAGGUAUACAUAAACUUGAUUAAAUUUCUAUCAAAAAGUUUGGCAAAAAAAAUUGGCAAGUAGUUGAAAUUUGUUUGAAUAUUUACGUUACCAUAUGGAAAUGAGCUAUAAUUAAUUAUUGAUAUUUUUCUUUUGAUUUUUAAGGUUUGUUUAUAGGCGACACCGAAGUUACUUGUAUUAUAUAUUUACAAUAUACCUUUGUCGCAUGAUUAUGUUAAUUAGUUAUUUACAUAAUAGUGGUCAACCAUUAAAAGGACGACUAAUGAACAAGAGUUAAGGCCAACGUUAACUAUAUUCUUUAAAUUAACAACGCCGACCAAACCUUAAAUAGUUGGAUUAGGUUAUUUCAGUAAUUACAAAAAUUGAAAUGGAAAAAUCUGAGAGUGAGAGGGAAACUCCAAAACCACGUUGACCAAAUAAAUCACCGGAAACCAGAAGCUGGAAAUAUGAGCAAAAAAGCCAAAAGCCAAAAGAUUGUAAGUAGGAAAACCAUCUGCGACGCCCAUAGAGAAGAAACGAAACCGGUUUAGUUCCUACAUCAUCACUUUUCCCUCUCCGGAAAACCAGGAAAUUCUGUACUUACGCACAAGUGUAAUUAUACGUAAAGAAAGGUUUGCUAACGCUUGAUUUAAUAAAAGAACACAGUGGAAAUAAAAAUGAUUUGCAGAAGAAAUAAAAUUAACAAAUUGAAGUCACGGAAUUAAAAAAAAAUAAAACUAUCAAGCAUUUAUCAUCGAUAUUUUCUUGAUAAACUUUUACUGACAUUAUUGUAAGCUAAAACUUAAAUUUUUUUUUAAAAUUUUCUAUGUUUUAUUUACGAUUUCAUAUUUAAUAAUAAAAUAUUUAUAAAAAAAGAUUUCGCUAUUUUAUAAAUUACUAAUCAAAGACUUUGCAAGACAUUACAAUAAACCUUACUAUUAAUUAUUGAAAACUAUAAAUAUAGCAUUUGAUUAAUAUGUCAAAAAGAGUUUUUGCGUUUGGAUUAUUUUUUAGUAAUUUUUUAUUGUGUUGACAAUUUUACCACUUUAUGUAUAUGUUUAUGUAUGGUAUACAGAAAAAUAACAUAAAGAACAAAAUUGUUUUUAAACCAAAUUUUUUUUUUUAAAAAGUGUCUAAACACGCUUGAAACUUUGAAAAAAGUGUCUAAUAUUUCUAUGUUAAAUAUGUUGAAUGUUGAUGAUAAAAUAUAAAAUAUGUUAAAAAUGUUAUAUUUAGACAUUUUAUUGUAAAUAUAUUGAGUAAUGUGUAUUUAAAAAAAGUAACUAGAGAUUAGGUUAGACUUCGACAUUCAAUGCCGGUUGUUUUAAUGAAAGAAAACUACCGAAUCUAACCAAUAUACGUUGACAUUAUUAGUUUAGUUAAAAAGUACAAUAAUUUAGUCAAAGUGAUCCUUUCAGAUAAAUUUAUUAGUAAGUAGUUCUUCGGAUAUUAAUGUUAAUUAUCAGAAUUAAGAUGGAGCUACAUACUGUAGCCGAUCAGAAAACGCGGCGAUUCGACCAACCUCUGUUACCAUAGUGUCUCCGCCACGCGACCACACUAUUCCGCUUUGCAUGCGACUUUGAAGUUCGAACCUCUCUGCUCUUAUUUCCCAUUUUACCCUCUUCUCUUUUACGAGUAAUUUCGCUUUCAAAUUCACCUCCUCCAAUUAUUUUGGCAGUCCAUUAUGAAUUGUCGAAUAUAAAACGCGGUCAGAUAUUAAAAAAUAUUUGAAAACACAAAUAGAAACGCUUGCUUGGCUUUUUUGCCGAUGAAGAUCACGUGAAUGAAGGUCGGAGACAAAACACAAAAAAAGCUUUGAUAUAGUAUUUUUCAUAUUUAUCAGUAGGUAGAAAAAAAAAGAUUGUUAAACAAAAUUGCAUCGGAUGGUAAUAAAAACGAUGAAAACUAAAACGACGAUAAAUGUCCAUGUUCAAGUUAACAUAAUACUAGAGAUAACACGAUUCAUGAACCCUUUUUGUUAUUAUAUUGUGGAACACUUUUGCAUAAAGUAUAUAAACUGUAGAAUGCAUUUCUUUUAAAUUUCGAGUUCAAACUUUUUUGGGACAGAAUGUUAUUUUAUAAAUCAAAACAAAGGCUGACUCCAAGUAUUAAGAGAAAUUAUGUGUUAAAAAUCUCAAACUCUUAUAAUUCAUCGACAAAUUUAAUAUUUUGAUAUGUUCUUCAUUUUAAAAUAUAAAUCGGUUUAUGAUCUAUUUUUUUUGUUUCAAAAUAUAAGUUGUUCUUGAUAUUUUAUGCAUAAUUUUUAAAAACAUUUCAAUUUUAACCUUAUUUUUAUAAUAUAUUAAGAGAAAGACAAUUAUAUAAUAUAUUAAUAAAAAAUAUAAUAGAAAUUUUAAUAUACUUUAUUAAUAUGUGUACAACCAUCUAAAACGACUUUUGAAAUUGAUGGAGUAUUUAGUAACAUAUUUUUAUCAAUUAAGUAUAUCAUAUUAUCAUUUAUCUUUCUAUAUAGUCAAUACACAUUUUCAUUUAUCUUGGAGUACUAAAUUUACCCACAGUAAAUUGUGGAAUUCAUUUUUUGUUUUGUCGCUUACGAAAUUCAUCUAAGCAUACUAUACGAUACAAAUUAUGAAUAUACACAAAAAUAAAUUCCAUCGCUUGUUAUGAUCUCUCUCCGACCAAACCCAGCAGCUUCCUUUCUCUCUUAAAUACCUCUCCUUUCUUCUAAGCUCAGGACCGUACUGUACUUUCCUCUUAGCACAAAAAAAAAAAAAAAUUCUCCUCUCAUCUUCUUUCAAAAAAAAAAUGCGUAUGAGCUGUAACGGAUGUCGAGUUCUUCGAAAAGGCUGCAGUGAAAACUGUAGCAUAAAGCCUUGUCUCCAAUGGAUCAAAUCCGCCGAAUCUCAAGCCAACGCCACUGUCUUCCUCGCCAAAUUCUACGGCCGUGCCGGUCUCAUGAACCUCCUCAACGCCGGUCCUGACCACCUCCGUCCUGGUAAACCAAUUCGUCAGCUCAAAACAGAUUUACUCUUAUCAUACAUCUGAUAAUAGACUAUCCCCCUGUUUCCGAAAACAGAGGACUCUGUUUUUUCCUUUAUCAUGCACUUGAUAGUGGAUCAUCCCCUGUUUCUGCUUUUUUUCUUUGUUCUCUGUAAUCAUGCAUUAGUGGAUUAUUUUCAAACAGAUGACUCUGCUUUUCUCUCUAUCAUGUAUCAAGAAAUGGCUCAUCCCCUGUUUCUGCUUUUUCAUUGUUCUCUCUAAUCAUGCAUUAGUGGAUUAUUUCAAACAGACGACUCUGCUUUUCUCUCUAUCAAUAUCAUGCAUCAAGAAAUGGCUCAUCCUCUGUUUUUAAAGCUCUGUUUUUUUCUCUAUCAUUCCUCUGACUAUGGAUCAUGCCCUGUUUUUGAAAACAGAGGAAUCUGCUUCUUUUUUUCUUUAUCAUGCAUCUGGUAAUAGUUUUGUUUUUUUUUGUUUUUUGUUUUUUUUUGCAGCGAUAUUUAGAUCAUUGUUAUACGAAGCAUGCGGGAGGAUUGUGAAUCCGAUUUACGGAUCCGUCGGGUUAUUAUGGUCCGGGAAUUGGCAUCUUUGUCAAGCAGCCGUGGAGGCAGUGAUGAGAGGCUCUCCUGUAACUCCGAUCGCCUGCGACGCAGCGAUCACAGGCCAGUCUCCUCCUUUCAACAACAACAAACUCUUCGACAUAAGACACGUGUCGAGAGACGAGAACGGCUUAAAGAGUCGGUGUCGGUCGAGCCGUGGUGCAAACAAACAAGAGAGAAACGUGAGGUCGUCGCUGAGUCACGAGUCUUCACUGAGUCACGAGUCGACGGUGGUGAAGGAUGAAGGGAGUAUGGUUUCGUCGGAGGAGACGAUGACGGAGGAACCGAGUUGGAUCGGGCUUGAGCUUACUUUGGGGUUGGAGCCGGCCAUGGCACGUGAGAGUCACGUGGUGGUGCCGAUGAAGAAAAGGAAGCUAGAGAGAUGUGGCACGUGCAAUGAUGAGGACACGUGUAAGAUUGAGCUUGGACUUGUGUGCAGUGAGUGAGAUGAAUGGUGUGUUUUUUUGGGGCUGUGUGUUGAGUUUUAUUAGCCUUUUAGGUGUACAAAGAGAUUAGCAAAUCUCUCUUUUUUAGUCUCUUUUAAGUUUUGUUUUGUUUACUGUUUUGCAUGUUCGGUGUUUUUUCAUAAAUGUGUAUGAUAAAGAGGUCUUAACUUAACAAAAUUGCAAUCUUCAAAAAUCUGUGCGGAUUAAAUGCAGAAGAUCUAAAAAAUUAUAGGAUGCAUUAAUUAAGCCUCAAAAUUUCAAAGUGGCUUAGUGGUGAAAUCUCAAUAUAAAUAUACAUGACGAUUUAGCCAUUUAUCAUAGAUAAAGCAUAUGGUUUCAUUUAAAAGCUACAUGUGUGAUGUGUGUUAGAUUUUGGUUCGCAAAGUUUCUCACAUGUGUGGUGAUGGAUUAAUUAGGUAGAGAAGAGGAUUAGGACGUUUAGUUAACUGGGUCGAAAUAUUUAUUCAACCAAACAUGGCCCAACUCUUUUGGACUUAAAUUCAGUAAUUCUUUUGUUCUUUUGUCUUCUUGUUUACAUUCUGUUUCUCAUAGGCACAAAACAAAAAGGAAAAAAGGAAUGAUUUAUAGUAAAAGAACGCAGUUCCUAUAGUCUAGUAAUUUUUUUAACAUUGUAAUUUUAUUAGACAAGUAUUUUCCUUUAUAGGCCUAUUUAAAACAUUUCCAUCCCUUAUACUCUAUGGGGAUGCUUAAGAUUUUUAAUAAUAAUUUUGUGAAAAUUUAAAAAUUGAAAAACUUUUUUUUCUGUCCAAGCCAAUUAAAAACUCACACCUGUCUAACUUUUUUUUAAACCAAUUAAAAACUGACACAUGUUUAAGGGACUCCUAAAAAUCGAUACUUAAAUACAUUUUUCAUUUAUUUUUAAAAUUAUUUUUUCUCAAAAAAUCCCUAUAGUACCAAGAAUGAAGAAAGUUUUAUAUAGUUUUUGUGUCAAUAAUAUGCUGGACUCAAAUUUGGAUGAUGAUAAAAGUUUCUAGAAAAACGGUGCGUUUAUCUCUGAGGGUGAUUUCGAGGGAGAAUAGGGUUUUGCUUUACGUCUCCUUCAAGGAAGGACGCCGCCGCCGUUGAAACUUCCGAUGGAGGAGUCCGAGGCGGAUCAGAUGCUGGGGACUCAGUCUCCGAAUCCAGUUGCAACAGUUCCGGUGAUGUCUUAUGCGAAUAUCGUCCAAUCUAAAAAAACUUUGACAAAGUACGAUUUAGAAAUAUCUACAGCCAACGGUAUCAGUUCAGUCAGGGUUCCGGAAGAAGUAUUUCAGGAUUCCUCGCUGUUGUGGGAAGACUUUGUGGUGGGUCGAUUCUUAGCUACUGCUCCGCAUAUCGCAAAAGUUCAUGCCAUUGUAAACAAAAUCUGGGCUUUGGGAGAUAAGUCACAGAUGAUUGACAUUCAAGUAAUCAACCCUACAACAAUGAAGUUUAGGAUCUCGAAUCCUAUAACAAGAAAUCGGGUGCUGAGGAGAGGAAUGUGGAAUCUUGCAGAAGUUCCAGUAGUUAUGUCGAAAUGGUCUCCAUUCACAGAGGAGAUUCAACCAGAAGUCAAGUCGGUUCCGCUGUGGGUUCAUCUCCGCAACGUACCGAUGGAUAUGUUUUCAUGGAAAGGACUUAGCUUCAUCACAAGUGCUGUUGGUGAACCAGUUCGUCUCCAUCCCGAUACAGCUCAAUGUGUUGAUUUCAAGCUUGCAAAGGUUUUUGUAAAAGCUGAUCUCACUAAGGAGCUACCAAAGAUGAUGAACUUCACAUCACCAAAUGGUUCAGAAUCGAUGGUGGAAUUCACUUACCCAUGGCUUCCGACAAGGUGCUCGGUCUGUCAAAAAUGGGGACACCUAAUUACGGUAUGUUUGGGAACACAAGCUGUAGCAGAAGGAAGUUCAGAAAUUCUCAAAACACCGGUGAAAGAUACCUCUGUAACAGGCGAAGCAAUAACAAUGGUGUCAGAAAAGAGUUCCGAUAAAACAAAUAAAACCACGAUGGAAACCAUUACUGAAAAACCACUAAGUGAGGAAAAGGAAGAGGGAGAAUGGUCAGUGGUCACACCUGGCAAGGCAGGACGUGGCACACCUCAGAAACACAACGAGCUAGAAUACGGACAAGUUUCCAUCUUAUCUAACUCGCGAUUCGCCAUAUUAAGCAAACCUGACCUAGCUGAUAUGGGCGAAGAUGAAGACUCAACAGAAAAGGAGACAGAGACAAACUCAAAUGAUGUAACAGAUGUAAAUUAACCAUUACUUGAGAAUACAGAGCAGAAUGAGGAAACAGAGGCUGUUACACUAGUUCCACAAACAGAGCAAAGUGCACCAAAUCAUACGGAGGGAAGUCAAAAAGGAAGUGAAGCUCAAUUAAGACAACCUUUACACCGUAGCUCCAAGGAAAAUCACAAAUUCCUCUCGGACCCUUCUACACAAAGAGCAAAGGAUGUUAUUCCUAGCACUUUGAAAAAGAAGGCCACCACCAAAAAAGCCAAUUAAUGUUGGGAUUUACAUGGAAUGUACAUGGAUUUAAUAAGUCUACUAAACAUUCUGUUGUGAAGGAUUGGAUGAAGAAGGGUUCAUUUCAGUUCGGGUGUUUGUUGGAAACACGAGUGAAGGAAACUAAAGCUAUGUCAAUUGCAUCUGCAGUUUUCAAAAAUUGGUUUUUUUUUUAUCAAAUUAUGAGCACAAUCGGCUUGGCAGGAUCUGUGUUAUAUGGAGUCCACAAACCCGGGUUACCCCCUACUUUAAAAGCAGUCAGAUGAUCACAUGCUCGAUUUUACUGGAAGGUGCUACGGAUGAGAUCUUCUGUUCAUUUGUCUAUGCUCUAAAUACAGUUAAAAAAUUGUGGGAGGAUAUUAAAAAUCAUCAAGACUCUCCGCUGUUUAGAAAUAGACCGUGGUUGAUAUUGGUGAUUUUAAUGAGAUAUUGAAGGUGGAAGAGCAUUCAGGCUAUAUGGAUUCUCCAACUGCUCCCACAGGUAUGAGAGACUUCCAAGAUAUAGUUCGAUAUUGCUCUCUUGCUGAUCUGAAAACACAUGGACCAUUAUACACAUGGUGUAACAAGAGAGAAGAAGGUCUGAUAUGUAAAAAGCUUGACCGAGUCCUCAUGAACAAUGCAAGGAAAAACUCAUAUCCGCAGUCAUAUUGUUCUUUUGAAUCUGGAGGAUGCUCAGAUCACUUAAGAUGCCGCAUUCAAAUCGACGCAGAAAAGCAGAGGAUCAGACGCCCUUUUAAAUUCACGAAUGCAAUCACUAGCUUGCCAGGAUUUUUGCCUUUGAUGAAGGAUCAUUGGGCGGAAACAGAAGCCAUCUUUAGCUCUACGUCUGCAAUGUUUCGUUUCUCUAAAAAACUGAAGGCUUUGAAGCUGAAGUUACGAGGGUUUAGCUAUGUGAACCAAAAAGGCAUAUGAGGAGCUAUGUGAAGCUCAGAUGACAACAUUAUCAAACCCUGCUCAGGCUACAGUGGACGUGGAUGCCAGAGCUUAUGAGAAAUGGCAACACUUAGCAGAGAUUGAAGAAAAGUAUCUCCGUCAAAAAUCUAAGCUGCAUUGGCUACAGGUUGGAGACGGGAAUAACAGAUAUUUUCAUCAAGCGACAACGCAAAGAGCGAUGAGAAACUCAAUCAGGGAAAUUCAAAGGAUUGAUGGUUCAUUGGCAGUAACUCAAGAGGAAAUAAAGGAGGAGGCUGAACAAUUCUCCCACAAAUUUUUAUCCCAUGAAAUUGUAGAUUACAAUGCAGUUCGGAGGUGGUGUGUUCGUGUCAACUACGUGAGGGAACAAGUUUUACCCUUAACAAAACAAAUGAAAGCCGCAAGUGCACAGCUAAUCAGUUGUAGUAUUUAGGGAUCGAAUCCACAGAGAUUUGUGUGCCUGGUAUUCUUCUUUUUAACUUUAUGUCUAGACUAAAUUGGUUUUAAAGGUUGGUUAUUUUUCUUGCGAAUUAAACUAAAACAAAAGAAAGCAAAUAAAUCUAUCCUAAAAAGCAGGUAAGAAAUCCGAAUGGAAUGCAAUUAGAAUGGGCAAAUAUCGAAUGAAAGACUAAUAAGGCAAGUAAGAUAUCGCAUGAAAGGUAAAUAAAGCAAAUAAAUAAUGAACUAAGGAAAUUGAAAUGCAGGUCUAAGAAAGCAAGUAAAAAUCGAUGGAAUUGUAAACUAUGGCUAAAAACGCUGAGCUUUUGGGAACUCUAAGGGAUCAUAAUCGGUUUUAACACUAAGGUAGAUAGAUUGGGAUUGACAGAUAACGAUAUAUGGGUUCUAGAGCUAGAGUACGGCGGUAUGACUAUGUCACUGUCGUGAUCAUAACCAACUGUUUCUCGCAACCCUGACCAGUAGGUUUCCACUCUGGCCCUGGAAGGGAGAGAACGCAAGAGCUGCACAAGACUCGUCAAUACUCACGAUCUCGCCGCAGGUAGGUUUCCACUCCUACGGAAAAAUUGCCUGUUUCAUUCUAGGGCUGAUACUUAAUGAAAAUUUCGCAACACUAACUAUCUAGAUCAGAUACUAGGUGAUCAAUCAAGCAUACAUGCAAUAAGAACAAGAAUAAACAGAGAACAGGUCGAAAUCCCAGAUCUAUAAACCUAGAUGUCUUAAUCGAUUAUGAGAGCCCCUUUCGAGAACCCUAAGCCCAACUCGGGAUCUACUCAGACAUGGCUGAGUUCGACAUCAUCAUUGGUUUUAAUAAAAGUAAUGAAAAACAGUAAAGAAAAGAGAUAAAGAAAGCUUCUCUAUUGAAGAACUCGGACUUGAACAAUCUUCUACAAAAAUCUCAUAAAAAUGGCUAAAGGAAAAGAGUUUCUAAAAAGUAUGAAGGGUCCUCUCUAAAAGCGACCUAAAUGACAUGUAUUUAUAGUCUCCAAUACUCCAUGGUCUCUAGGGUUCCGGAAUUGAGGCUGAGAAUGACUUUGGGCUUCAGAUAAGUGGGCUUUAACUCGAAGAUUGAUUGCCGCGGUCGGGAGUGUUGUGACCGCGGCAAUUGGCUUGUUGGCCGCGGUCGGGAAGCUUCUGACCGUGGCAAAUAGCUUGUUGGCCGCGGUCGGGUGAGUUGCUGACCGACUUCGAAUGGCUCCGGGGCUAAUGAAAUAUCUUGAGAUCCAAACGUUGGAAUGUCUCCAGACCAAGUGCAUUUGAAAGCUGGUUGAUUCUUCUAUAAGUUGUCCAAUUUUGAGGGUGAUCAGAAGGUGAGAAGGUCUUCGUUUCUCCAUGAGAGUUCUGACGGUCUGCAUUUAUCCAAAAGAGUCUUUUUGUUCCAUUUUGUGCCUCUUUAUCCCAAAUUACCUGAAAAGUCUUUUAAAAUCCGAAAACAUAGAAAUCCUUUGAAAACCUUUGAAAAUGGAGUAAAAACACUUGUAAAAGAUAUUAAAAUGAUCCAUAAAAAUAGUCAACAUCCGGUGUUAUCAACUCCCCCAGACUUAGUCUUUUGUUUGUCCUCAAACAAAACAAAGGCUAAAUCUCGGCGAGAGGUUUGAAAACGCUGGAACUAAACAAAAUCUCAGAGACCAAACUUCUAGACCAAUAUCAAUCAGUAUGCAUCAAUCGGGAAUAGCCUAGAAAAUUCUCACUAGCAAUACAAGCAUAACUAGUCCGUUAAUCCGUCAUGCAGAAAUCUAUGCACUAAGAUCUAACUUCCAGUCAACUAGCUCUUAACAUUCAUUUAAAAUCUCGGUGAUUUUCAUCAAAGAAAAUCUAGGCAAGGCAAUCUAGGCUAGGUGUCAAGAAGGAUAAUUCUGGGGGGUAAGGCUUAAAGUGUUUACGGGUUACCUGAAGAUUUGGAGGAUGCAAGAUAUUAUGCAAAACCGCAAGAGAGAGUGAAGCUGUUGGUAUCCACAGUUUUCAGUCACUUUCUUCUUGACAUAAAUUCAUGGUCUUCUUGCUCAGGUUCUCUCCAAACUCCCCCAGACUUAGAUUUUUGUAAAUCUUUAAAAACAAUAUCUCCUUAAACGAAUAGUGGUUGCUCAUUGCUCCACAAAUUUCGACAAUCUAAGACUCAUUAGGCUUUUUGUUUCCUUUUCUCUUUUCACGUUUUUUUUUCUUUUUUUUUCUUUUUUUGUUUUAAGAAAGGGAACAUCUUUAGAUAUAGAGUCUUAGAGAGCACGAAUUUACCAGUUAAUAUCUGUCUUGUAAAGCUUUAUUAUGUUUCUGAUACUCUUCCUUCCCAAUUCCAUUAAGUCUCCUUUGUGAGUGACUGAAAACUGCGUCGCUCCUCUUCUCUCCGACGUUUUUGCACAUAUCUGCUGAUAUAAACUAAAGAGAGAAUGCAUGAGGAUUGAAACCAAGGGUUUUGGGUUUAGGGUAUGGUACCAGAUAAAGAUAAAGUGGUCAUCUGAACGACAAAUAGUGGUAAAAGUGAUGGUAAAAGACGUCCUAGAUGUGUAUGUCGAUGCCUGCCUAAAAUCAAUGAUGAGAAAAUUAGAUAUCAAUAUUAAGUCAAAAUAAAAUGAGCUAGUAUAUCUUGUCAGAAAGAAUCUCCAUGAAUAGAAGUCCUCUGGUGGGAGUUCGUAGUGCAAGUACUCUAGCUACCGCCUAGUCUAGUGCUAACCACAAAUGAGCUAUCAUGCAUAGUGUAGAAGUGUGCAGGUCUAAAUCAUCAUAGUUUUGCGUCAAACAUUCCUGAAAAAUACUUAAUGUCGAAUAGGUUACAUAUUAAAAUUUUAAAAGUACUUGAAAUUUAAAAGCAAAGCAGGGAAAUGAUUAGUACGGAUAGACAUCCUCCCGCAGACUUAAAUCACACUGUCUCCAGUGUGAAAAAGUUGGUGAGAAGAUGGUAAAUAAAAGCAAAAUAAAAUAAAAUAAGAUAAAAGAAAAGAUAAUGAUGAUAGAACCGUGAUGGUAGUGAAGUGCUGAUCAAUCACUCAUCCUCCGAAGUGUCGUCUGCGAAAUGGUGUUGCUCCUGUAAGAAGGUGAUAACGCGCUCAAAGCGUCGUCCCUGUCUCUCAACUCUGCGCUCCAGAUUGGAAUGAGUGUGUGAUGAUGUAGAUGAUGAGGUGUGGCCAGUCGAAAUAGAUGGCUGAAAAUGAGCACGGGCCGCAGCUGCAUCACGCUUCGCCUUGGCUACUAUGUAUUGGCCAAUGGUGAAUGGUAGACGAGGUACAGAUGGCAGAAAAUCAUCGGAUACUGGAGUCCAUCGUGGGCGUCCUCCGUUGCAAAAUCUCGGGAUAGAUGCUGAAGGUAAGCGGACUCGGUGCUCCUCGGUGCCAGUGCAAUACUUGUAACCAAAUCUGUCUGGAUCGAAAGCGGCACGAGAGAUAGUGUGAUCGCGAGAGAGAUAAAGUAGAUCAUACCAGACAUCGAGAAGUGGCUCGUCAGAUGAGAAAUCGAAUCCUACAGCCUGUAGUAUCGCUGUAAUAGCACUCCCGAAAGCUGGAGUAGCGUCCUCGCAACCAUGUAAAUCAUGCUUCACCUUUACCAUAUUCUGCGCUAUGAUCCAUGCAAAGCAAGCAAGUCGUGGGUCGUCCAUAAACGGAAUCUGAAGUGUAAUGAGCUCAGUCUUCAAAACACCUCCCAUGUUUGCUCUAGAGAAGAUCGUGUGUGCUAAGAGUUUGUGCACAACUCGCACUGCUGGGUGGCUAAGAAGGGCUGACUUCGAUCUCCCACUAUCAUAGGUUCCAUGACCCAUCUCUCUCCACAGGUUAAGAUCAGGUUCAUCUUCAAGGUAAAUGCCAUCAGUGUAUGGAAGCUUAAGAGCUUCACAAACCUCGGAAAUGGUGAGUGAAUAAGGCUGUCCGCGGAUAGAGAAUGACAAGAUGUCAUCUGAUGCUCUGGGGUUCCUCCUUUUCGUGUGGUGGAGUGUAAUAGUCGCUAAAAGCUCACGGACUAGCUCAGGAUAAGUCGGAAGGUUCAGCUCCAUGUAGGGUCUCAGCUUAAGUGCAUCGAUGUACCAGAUCACAUCCUCUCUGAUUCCAAGCAUCUCGAGUGUAUGAUAAUCAAUGCAAGGCGUGGGUUUGAUGUUCAGCUUCUUGAAACGCCUUGCAUAGUCCACUCUCGGGUUUGUCUCCCUCCCAAUGUAUCGAAUCUGUGGUGGCUCGGGAGCUGCUCGUGUUUCUCUUGUGUGCUGGAGCAAUCUCAUCACAUAGCUUCUUCUUCUCGGUCUGGCUUGGUUCAGCAUGUACUCUCCUAGAGUAGCAUAAUCGGGAAUGUCCUCAGAGCUGUCACCAUUGCGACGGCUUCUUCGGGAUCUGGUUUGUUCCAUUUUUCUGCAAAACGAAAUGGUUCUCGGAAAAAGAAUGAAUUUGGAUGCUGAUUUUAACACAUUAAGAUCUGUUAUACUAAUACUAGCAUAAAGAGAUUAAUUAAAACCAUGAGCAAACAAAAUUGAUUUUAAAUCAGAGAAAUCAAGUAGUUCAUGACCAGAUUCGGAUUUUUGAUGUUCUCAACAUAGAAAUCUUCUAAAAAUCGGUUUUUAUGAGCAAUUUCCAUGUAAAUUCUAAAGAUUACCCAAUACUAAUCACUAAUCACACAAGACUUAAUCAAACUCGUCAAUUUUGCUGUUCCAAAUUCUAUUUUUAUGAAGCAUGUAGAAUCCAAAUUUCAAAAAAUCUCAAUUUCUCUUAAGUUAGGUGUUAAAAUCGAUUUUUAGAUAACCUAGAUGGAUAAUCUAUCAUUCUUAAGCUAUUUCCACCACCAAUAAACAGAGAUUUGAGCUUUUUUAAAAAACCCUAAGUUCUGAAAUCAAUUAAAAAUGGCGAGUUUGAGGUUCAUACCUUGCUGGAAAGAGAGAUUUGAUUGCAGAAUUGGAAUCAGUUUUGAAAAAAAGUGAGGUUUUAGACAAAAAUCUUUUAAAAAGCUUAAGAAUUGAAAAAUGUGUUCUAUCUCCUAAAUCUCCAAAUCUUUUAGAAGAGAAGGGAAGAAGGAGUUUUGAUCCAAAAAGUUUGUUUCUUUUCUUUAAAAAGCGUUUUUGUAGCAAAAACGGAAAAUUUCUAGAAAUUUUUAAGUUUACGGGAACUUACAUUUCUUGUUUGCACCUUAGGAAAGUUUAAAACUUACGGAGGAUCUUUUCGGGUUUUACCGGGAACAUUUCGGGAAGCACCGGGAAUCACCGGGAAUCACCAGGUAACACCAGGCAACACCAGGCAAACACCAGGCAAAUACCAGGCAACACCGGGAAAACACCAGGCAACACCGGGAAAUCACCAGGAAACACCGGGAAAUCACCAGGUAAACACCAGGAAACACCGGGAAAUCACCAGGCAACACCGGGAAUCGGCAGAAAUCUGCGGCGUCACCUCAACGACCAACGGCCGCGGUCAGGAGAUGCGCGACCGCGGUGAUCGAGGGCUCGGCCGCGGUCAUAUUCACGGUGCCGCGGUCGAUGCACCCUUGGCCGCGGGUCGAACGGUCGCGACCGCGGCUCUUCCUCCUGCGGCCUAUUGUCCAAUCUUCUCGUUUUUGCCGGGCCGAGCACCUGAAAACCUACUUUUUCUUCUUGGUUUUUCUAAUUUUCUGAUUUUUUUUUUGUUUUUGUUUUAUAACAUACCUAAAACUUAAAAAGAAAAAGAAAGCAUAAUUUGUAAAAAGGAAAAGAAAACUAAAAGAAAGAGUACCUAAAUGGGUUGCCUCCCAUAAGCGCUUUUGUUUUAAGUCGUUUAGUUCGACGUAAGCAUGAGGAAUCAGGCUGAUUUGAAUGGCACUCCACUUGAUGUGCCUUUAUCACUUCCGGUUGCUGGAGGUUUUACUUCUUCUCCUUGAGGAGAAGUCUUCUUACCUUUACUCUUCUUUCGGACUUUAAUGUUGUUCAGAACCCUUUUUGUGUUUUCGAUCAGCUCCUGGAUUUGGUCCUCACUAGUUUCUGUUGCAUCUGGUGGAAUGAUGAUCUUGAUCUUUGCAAAAGCUUUCGGCUUCUCCUUUUCUUUCUCUUUUGGCCUGUUUCCUUUACUUGGAAAUUCAUCUAAAACAGCAUGCCGGUUUGCGUGAUCGAUUACUGCUCCUACUGUAGCUAGGAAUGGUCUUCCAAAAAUGAGUGGCUUCUCCUUGUCUUUAUCCAUCUCCAGGACUUGGAAAUCUGCUGGAACAAUCUUAUCUCGCACUAGAACUUGUAGAUCAUGAAUCGCCCCUUUAGUAUCUUUUUGAGAUGAAUCUCCAAAGAUAACCUUAACCGUCGAUGUCCUUAAGGUUUUUAUGCCCAAUUGUUCGGCAAAUAUCUUAGACAUGAUGUUGACAUUGGCUCCGGAAUCGCACAAGCAGUCUGUAAACUUGAUUCCUGAAAUGAAACAUUGGAAAACAAAACGUCCCGGAUCAUCGGCUUUGGUAAGCCUUUGAAACGGUGAUCGUUCAGGUACCUUAAACGGUGGCUGCUUGGGAUCGAUAUCCUUGUACAGUGGUACAAAGAUGGGGGUUUCUUCUUUCUUCCAUUGGUUCCGGCCUCUUCUUCGGGCAAUGUGGUUAUGGCGUUGCAAAACUUCUUAGGGUUAUCUUCAACUCUUCCUGGAAGAACUCCACUUUGCCUCUUCAUAGAGUCGGCUGUUUGGGCGACUUGCACAUCUAACUUUUUUACGUGCGAAGAUAAAGAUUCAAACUUACCAUUCAGAUCAUUGUACAUGCAGUCCACUUUCACGUUCACGUCUUUAGAUGCUUUUUUGUUCGUCAUAACGAGCUGUUGGAUUGACUGUUCAAGUCUACCGAUUUGUGAAGCUAGCUGGGUCGUCGUGACUCCCUGCUGUUGUACAAAUUGAUUGUUAAAACCCGUACCUUGGUAGUUAUAUGGCUGUCGCGGUUGAUAUGGUACUAUUCCUCCAAAGUUUCCACCUUGAAACUUGUUUUGGAAGGAUUUUUGCUGAGGUGGGUAGUACUGAUCUUGAGGAUUCUCCACAUUUGGAUUGCGGUAAGAGAGAUUGUUGUAAUUUGCAUUCUGAAGGUUGUUGAAGUUGUUGUUGGAGCGAUUUUGGUAUGGCACCAGUGCUCCUACGUAGUUCACAUCUUCUUCUUGAAAUGCUUGAUUAAUGUGAUCGAUAUCACUAGGUCCUUCAUCUUCUGCGCCAUUGUUGGUUUCACAGGCAUGGAUCGGGCGAUUGUUGCUCUUCAGAAGCUGGCUCACCAUGUUCUUCAACUCGGUUAUCUCCUUAUUGUCUGUUCCGGCUUGCUUCAUCGAUCGAUCGUAUUCAGGACAGUCAUUGCUAUUGGCUUGAGCCAAAUUUUCGAUGAAGCUCUUCCUUGGGUUAUCGUCUUUUGCCCAAAAUCUCCAUUGCUAGCUGUAUCAAGUGAAAGUUUGUAUUUUGGUUGCAAACCUCGGUAAAAUGUGCUCAGCAGGCUUGAUCCAUGAAAUCCAUUGUGAGGGCAGUCACGUUCAUAUUCCUUAAAACGUUCCCAAGCUUCAUAGAAAGAUUCAGUUGGCCCUUGUUGAAAUGUUGAGAUCUUCGUUCUCAAAUUGUUCGACCUUGACUUAGUGUAGAAGUGGUUUAGGAAAGCAGUUCUACAUUCUUCCCAAUUGGUAAUCGAUCCUGCAGGCAAAGACUUCAACCAACGGUGAGCUUUAUCUGAUAGUGAAAAAGGGAACAACUUACACUUUAUAUAGUCAGGUGGAACUUGGUUUGUUCUCAUCAUGCUGCAAAUUUCUUCAAAAAGCUCGAUAUGGUCCAUUGGGUGCUCAGAAGGAACUCCAUGGAACUGGUUUUGCUUCACCAAUGAGAUGAUUUGAGGCUUGACUUCAAACUCAUUCCGGUUUGGAAAUGGUACUUGAAUCGCAGAUCGAUUCUGAAAAUUUUGAGUAAGUGCAUCAAAAUCAGCUAUGCGAUGGUUCCUGGCUUGUCUUCGGUGUUGAUUUGCUGGCGGAAUGGGGCGGUGAAUGCGUUCAUUCGGCUGCAUUUCUGGGUGGUCACCAUCGGCUGCAUUGAUGGGUGGAUCAAGGUCUUCACGUCCUUCUCUCUCUCGGUUCUGGUGGUUUCUUGGAGGAACCUCAUCCUCCUCUCCAUCUUGUCGAGCAUGAUCACCUCCUCUGUGAUCAUUCUCUUCAUUUCCUCCAUGUUCGGACCCAUCUUGGUCCAUAUUUAAAGUUCGAUUAAUAGGAUCUCCAGGCUGGUCAUCGUUGGCCAUUCCUUGCGUUCGUCUAAGUCUUCGAAGUUCUUUUUCGUGUCUGUCUAUCUCGUCUAGAAUUGGAAUGUUUUAUACAGGUCUGCGCCUGGUAUUCAUGCAAUUCAGAGAAAAACAAAAGAAGGGAAAGAUAAUUCAGCAAAACUUUAAGAAAGAACUAGAGAUCAAGUGUCCAGAACAGAAGUUAAAACAAGAAAAAUAGCAAAAGGCAGCGAAACAAAUCCCCGGCAACGGCGCCAAAAACUUGGUGUGUUCGUAUCUACUACGUGAGGGAACAAGUUUUACCCUUAACAAAAGAAAUGAAAGCCGCAAGUGAACAGCUAAUCAGUUAUAGUAUUUAGGGAUCGAAUCCACAGAGAUUUGUGUGCCUGGUAUUCUUCUUUUUAACUUUAUGUCUAGACUAAAUUGGUUUUAAAGGUUGGUUGUUUUUCUUGCGAAUUAAACUAAAACAAAAGAAAGCAAAUAAAUCUAUCCUAAAAAGCAGGUAAGAAAAUCGAAUGGAAUGCAAUUAGAAUGGGCAAAUAUCGAAUGAAAGACUAAUAAGGCAAGUAAGAUAUCACAUGAAAGGUAAAUAAAGCAAGUAAAUAAUGAACUAAGGAAAUUGAAAUGCAGGUCUAAGAAAGCAAGUAAAAAUCGAUGGAAUUGUAAACUAUGGCUAAAAACGCUGAGCUUUUGGGAACUCUAAGGGAUCAUAAUCGCUUUUAACACUAAGGUAGAUAGAUUGGGAUUGACAGAUAACGAUAUAUGGGUUCUAGAGCUAGAGUACGGCGGUAUGACUACGUCACUGUCGUGAUCAUAACCAACUGUUUCUCGCAACCCUGACCAGUAGGUUUCCACUCUGGCCCUGGAAGGGAGAGAACGCAAGAGCUGCACAAGACUCGUCAAUACUCACGAUCUCGCCGCAGGUAGGUUUCCACUCCUACGGAAAAAUCGCCUGUUUCAUUCUAGGGCUGAUAAUUAAUGAAAACUUUCGCAACACUAACUAUCUAGAUCAGAUACUAGGUGAUCAAUCAAGCAUACAUGCAAUAAGAACAAGAAUAAACAGAGAACAGGUCGAUCUAUAAACCUAGAUGUCUUAAUCGAUUAUGAGAGCCCCUUUCGGGAACCCUAAGCCCAACUCGGGAUCUACUCAGACAUGGCUGAGUUCGACAUCAUCAUUGGUUUUAAUAAAAGUAAUGAAAAACAGUAAAGAAAAGAGUAAAGAAAGCUUCUCUAUUGAAGAACUCGGACUUGAACAAUCUUCUACAAAAUCUCAUAAAAAUGGCUAAAGGAAAAGGGUUUCUGUAAAGUAUGAAGGGUCCUCUCUAAAACGACCUAAAUGACAUGUAUUUAUAGUCUCCAAUACUCCAUGGUCUCUAGGAUUCCAGAAUUGAGGCUGAGAAUGACUUUGGGCUUCAAAUAAGUGGGCUUUAACUCGGAGAUUGAUUGUCGCGGUCGGGAGUGUUGUGACCGCGGCAAUUGGCUUGUUGGCCGCGGUCGGGAAGCUUCUGACCGCGGCAAAUAGCUUGUUGGCCGCGGUCGGGUGAGUUGCUGACCGACUUCGAAUGGCUCCGGGGCUAAUGAAAUAUCUUGAGAUCCAACCGUUGGAAUGUCUCCAGACCAAGUGCAUUUGAAAGCUGGUUGAUUCUUCUAUAAGUUGUCCAAUUUUGAGGGUGAUCAGACGGUGAGAAGGUCUUCGUCUCUCCAUGAGAGUUCUGACGGUCUGCAUUUAUCCAAAAGAGUCUUUUUGUUCCAUUUUGUGCCUCUUUAUCCCAAAUUACCUGAACAGUCUUUUAAAAUCCGGAAACAUAGAAAUACUUUGAAAACCUUUGAAAAUGAAGUAAAAAUACCUGUAAAAAUAUUAAAAUGAUCCAUAAAAAUGGUCAAAAUCCGGUGUUAUCAGGAGGAUUACCUACGGGAUUUGUUGGGAUAUGAAUGCAGUGAGGUGGAAGGCGAGAUGCUGAGCAGAGGAGUAACUGAGGAAGAAAUUAAAUCGGUUUUGUUUGCAAUGCCAGGAAACAAGGCACCUGGUCCUGAUGGAUACACAUGUGAGUUCUUUAGGGAAGCAUGUCCUGUUCUCGGCAAGGAAUUUGUCAUCGCAGUGCAAUCUUUUUUCGACAAAGGGUUUUUACCCAAAGGGAUUAAUUCCACCAUUUUGGCACUAAUCCCCAAGAAAACAGACUCUAAGAUGAUGAAAGACUACAGGCCCAUUUAAUGCUGCAAUGUCAUAUACAAGGUCAUAUCUAAGCUACUUGCAAACCGACUAAAAACUCUGCUCCCAAAGUUCAUUGCACCGAACCAAUCGGCAUUUAUAAAAGACCGGUUUCUCAUGGAAAAUGUCCUCCUUGCAUCCGAACUAGUGAAGAACUAUCACAAGACAACCAUCUCUGCGCGCUGUGCUUUGAAAAUAGACAUCUCCAAGGCAUUUGAUACUGUACAAUGGCCUUUUCUGAUCUCCACUCUCACUGCUCUGAACAUUCCACAAAAGUUCAUACAUUGGAUUAAACUUUAUGUAACAUCAGCAUCUUUCUCAGUUCAAGUGAAUGGAGAGCUUGCCGGGUAUUUCCAAAGCAAAAGGGGUUUACGUCAGGGUUGUUCUCUUUCGUCUUAUCUUUUUGUGAUCAAUAUGAACAUUCUAUCAAAGAUGUUGGAUAAAGCUGCUUCAAAUCGUCGGUUUGGUUAUCAUCCCUCAUGUCAGACGCUCAAACUAACACAUCUAUGUUUUGCAGAUGAUAUGUUAGUUUUUGCAGAUGGCAGGAAAAACUCAAUCGAAGGCAUUCUUGGAGUCUUUAGAGAGUUUGCAGAAUUCUCGGGUUUGAACAUCAGUUUAGAGAAGUCAACGCUUUACAUAGCAGGUGUAUCGGGAACAACCCUGGACUCGAUCCUAGCUCAGUUCCCUUUCG